AGCCGGCUCAACUGUUGUGGUUGGAUUCUGGGCUCGAUGGUCUGGUCCCUCCCUCCCGAUCCUCCCGAUAUUUGAUGAAGUGGCCCAGGAAUAUUCUGGUAGGCUGAACUGUUACAAACUCGAAGUUGAUGAGAACCCAUCAACUGCUACGCGUUAUCCAGCUCGAACUCUCCCCACUUUCAUUAUUUUCAAGAAUGGUGAGAGGAAAGAUACAGUUAUUGGAGCUGUGCCCAAGACAACAUUGACCUCAACCAUAGAAAAAUAUCUGUGAGCAAAUGAAAGUAAAGCUAUUUUUGUCGUUAGUUUCCUCUCAUCUAAGCCAAAUAUCAGGUUGGGAUUAUUUGUUUCUUAAAUAACCAUUUAUGGUCCUGAAUAUUUAUGGAUGCAAACCAUAUUUUCUGAUUUCUUUAGAUAAUUAUAGUUAACAAUGUGUUGCGUAAUUUGCCAUCUAUUAUAGCACAAUUUAAAUCUAUUUACAUCUUGCCUCCUGUUUCUUUAGUUCUUCCGUUCACUUAAGUGGCUGAAAAUUGUGUGGUCACGUGGGGCUAUGAAACAAAUUCUUAUUAAAAUGGGACAAAUGUAGUUGAAAAGUAAAAUCUUAUUAAAAUUGUUAAUUGAAGAUUAAUUAAUGAAUAUUUCAUGUCUAUAUCAUGAUUUAAAAAAUGUCGUGUGAUAAUGCUCACGCUCUAUGGAUGUGUCUGUCCGUGUGACUAACUAAAAAUUGUUUCUCUGAUUGAUGGAUGUAUUCACGAGUAAAACCUUUGUGUUGCAUAAUUUCCAAAGCUCGACUUAAUCCAUGGUGAAGGGAAGUUCAAUAGUAACAUCCACAUACUUUUACUUCUUCUCAGAAAGCAAUACCAUAAUUAAUGGUAGUUCCUCUGUCUACGUUGUGACUGGAAGAAAAUUGUAUUUUCUCCUGAAAUCUAUCUCAUUCACGGGAUAACUGGAUGUGCCAUGAGAUACCAAUUGUUGCUUGGAGUGAGUGGUUAAACAUUCUUGUCUCUCACCAUGGUUGUGGUUAAACAUUCGAAGUCACGAUAUUUAGGAGCACAUAACCCUUUUGUUGGUCGAUUGAAUGCGAACAGGAAUUAAUGAAAUCCAUGGAUUUAGGUUAGAUACGAAGAAUGCGGCACGAGGGUAUGUUGCGCUUGUGAGUGCUUUAAGGUGUUUUUUUAUAGUUCUUCACGGAUGAAUUCUUCAUAGAUUAUUUGAAUAUUUUCACCCUUCAAUUCUUUCAAUUCUUACACAUGGUUGAACUAAAUCAAACUUGCAUUAUUCUGAUUAAUUUCUUGGGCGCAUGAUCCAAUAUAGAGGAGGGAAACAUCCCAUAAAUACACACAUGAAUAUAAGUGGGAUAUUGAAUAUAUUUGUAUUGGACAAAGCGCUCACGGCUCAGUGCUCCGUGGUCAGAUCUCGGUGCAUGGCAUAGGUAGGUAGCUUGGUUGUUUAGCCCGUAAAGGGAGUCGUGAGUUUGACCCAGUCAUAUUGGUAAGCCCGUUGUGGCAUAAUUAAAAUAACAUUUUUAUACAUUAGUAUAAGGCUACUAGUAAAGGGUACUUUUGAACCUAGUGGUACGAAUAAUACAUGUGGUGCCUAGGUCAAGUAAAUGUUUCUUUUAACUUGAGUACGUGUGUUCUAGGGCACAUAGUCGUUAAGUUGCAUGUGGGAUAAAAGAUAACGUUGCACCAUGAGUAGGGUGCCCCGUAAGCAGAAUAUUCCCCUGCUGUAGCACAUAAUUUGGUCCCCUGCUACCAGAUGGUUGUUCUGUUAUUAUUUUAUGCUCUCCUUAGAGAUAAGAUUCCUUUUUGUCGUAGCACCUUGAGAGAAGGCGCCCAUAAAAGGGGGCUUGAGACCCCAGGUAAAGGUACAUUGUUUCUGAGACUGAAACUGAAUACUUCUUGAAUUUUAGUAAGUGCUUUACUGAUUUGUUCAUCGGAGUGCCAUCAACAGGUAGGGUCCCCUCUAUUUCAACGAAGGUACAUUCCAAAGCUACAAGAAAUAGGAAAGAUUCCUCAAGAGCCAGACGAAGCUAGAACUUGCCACCAGAGUCAAUAGGUGAGCAAGUCAAUCAACAAUAACAUUUGGUGCACACCGUGGGGCCUGAUAAAAUCUGAUCCCAUCCACAAUUGUGUUUGAGUUUUUUGGCGUAAUGAGGAACACGAGGCAAGGUCCAUUGGGAUUUGAAGGGAACGACGCCCCUACCCUACAACAACUUAUGGAAACCAUGAGGGCUCUCCAAGAAGCCAACAAGCAGUACAAGCUAUAUCAGGAGCAGAUCCAACGAGAGGCCAAAGCUGAGCAGGAAAGGCUAAUGGCAGGAGCAGUGGCGGAGGCAAUGGCAGAAGCUAAAGUUGAACAAGAAAAGCUCAUUGUGGAAGUUUGAGUUGAGCAGGUGCUCAGACAAGGCCAAUGAGAAAUUGCGCAAGAACUUACAACAAAUUGAUCAAAGCUCUAUAGCGGAGCGAGGUUUGAGUGCACAGCUAAGAGAUCGUCCCAAGCCAUUCUCGUACGCGAUCAUGGAUGCUCUCAUACCGACGAACUACAUAACACCUAAGAUUGUUUUCACGGGAGUAGAAGACCCUGAGAGCCAUCUUACGGUGUUCAGCGCCGAGAUGAUUAUUUAGGGAGGAACAUAUGCCAUCCAUUGCAAGAUGCUCAUGGAUACGGUCACAGGUACAACUCUGCAAUGGUUUAGUGGCCUUCCUAACGACCACAUUGUUAGAAAGUAUGGCUUUAAACUAGAGGGGGGGUGAAUGGUUUAAAAAGGGAUUUCGAAAACUUUUAAGCCUUGAAUGAAAUUACUUCGAGAAUAUCUUGAUUAAGAAAUCAGUUUUUCAAAACACAAAGCUAAAAGCAGAGCACCAACAAAACAAUCGGUUGUUUCGUAGAAACAAACGGUUGUUUAUACCAGUUUACAAAUAUAAAAACUGAAUUUAAAGAGUUAAGGGAUAGAGAAAAUGCACACAGAGAUUUAUACUGGUUCACUCUAAACCCAGAGCUACAUCCAGUCUUCUCAGAAACCACUGAGGAACACCACUAAGUAAUCAAACCUAUAUCACUUACAACACAACCAAGAAAGUGACCUUGAUCCCCUCAAGACACACACUUCUCUUGGCCAACACACCAACACUAAGAAUGCUGAUCUUGAUCCCCUCAAGAACACACAACACUUCUCAGCAAACACACAAAGAUUCUUGUUCAACAGAUACAAGGAUUACACUUGUUACAGAAGCAAUUCUGAAAUCAAUACAAGCAGAAAUUUUAUCUCACACUCUUUGAUCAAUCUCAAUCUCUAAGCAAUCUCAACUCUUUGAAAAUCUCAAAAUCUUGUGUUAGUUCUUAAAACUCAAAUCUAUUUUUCUGAAUAUAUUCAAAGAUGUUGUUUUUUAUCAAAUCUUAACAAACUAUUCAUUGCAUUUAAAGAUUGGUCAAAGCAUUAAAAACUGGAGCGUAAACAGUUGGAAAAACAUUUAAUGCUCAGUCAAAGCACAAAACAGUUUUUUGUUAUGGUACCAUAACAAACAAUCGGUUGUUUCCACGAAUCAAUCGGUUGUUUUGGUUUUGACAGCAAGUCAACCAUAAAAAUAGUUUUCAAUCUUUUCUUAAACACCUAAGUAUAAAACAAUCGGUUGUUUCGACAAAACAAUCAGUUGUUUUUCAGUUAGUUUCAAAAACACUUUUCUUUUAAAAAGAUUGAGAAUGCCUAUGCUUUGGAUUCAAUCAAGAGUGGAUUACAUAAACAAUCUACCCCAGAUCCUAUCUAAGACAGCACAACAACAACAAGCACAACCUAGCCUUCAAGAUCCUUCAAAGGGUUUGGAUUCUUCAAAGCUUGAACACCACUUGGUUCAACACACAUCACCACCUCCUUCGACCAGUUUUCUGAGUUGCUCAGGGAACAAUUCAUUGUGAACCAGGCCCAACCACUAGUCUCAUUUGAUCUUUUCAACGUGAAACAGAGGCAAGGUGAUUCUCUGAAAAAUUAUUUGAACAGGUUUGAGGCGUUCACAAUGAAGCUCCAGACCCAUGACGAGCCCUAUAUGGUCAACGCCUUUGGGUAGGGAAUCACUGAUCAGGAAUACGGAAGUAACAUUUGUUGAGAUACGACGUCGAUUUUUCACUCACAUCAGCGCAGAGGAAGCAUUAUCUAUGAAGCACAACAACACACAUCUAGGGCAUACCAAGCCCAAAGAAUGUAGCCAAGCCCGACCUCUGAGGGUCAACGAAGCCAUAACUGAGAAGAGGGCAGGCGCAAGGCGAACACCAUACUCAGAUAGGAAGAACACGCCCAAGGCAAAAACACGUGAAGACCUGGCAUUUCGGUCAAAGUUCUGAAUGACUUAUAAGGAGUUGUUGAGUAUGCCAGGGGUGAUGGAAAAAUUGAAAUUCCCCCAAAAGUUUGACAGAAACUUAGGGCCACGAAAAGAUACCUGGUGCGAAUUCCACAAAGGAUUUGGGCACGACAUGGAGCGAUGUAUAACUCUGGACUAUCAGUUGGCAGGUUUGGUGAAAGACGGUUUCUUGAAGGAAUAUCUGGAGGGAAACCAAGAAGGGACAAAAGAAGAGAUUGUUUCCGGGGACUAAGGGCAUGAGGUACUAGUCCAUGGCGAGUUGAACACCAUCUCGGGAGGGGGAUGCACUACCUCUAAGCGUAAGAAAUACACGAGAAAGUCAAUAGCAAUAGAAGCGAGGAGACCUGGCCAAUCGGCAGAGCCCGACCUCUGCUUUACGAGAUAUGAUUUGGAAGACGUGGUCCCACAUGACGACAAUCCGGUGGUGAUAUCCAUCGUCAUUGUGGGAAGAAGAGAAGACCGAGUUCUCAUCGACCAAGAGAGCUCAGCUGAUGUGAUGUUCUGGAUAACAUUCAAUAAUUUUUUAUUGUCACCUAACCAGUUAAGGCCAUAUGAUGAAUAUUUGUUUGGCUUUGCGGGAGAUCAGGUGGAAGUGCAUGGACAUGUUGAGCUGAGGACAACUUUUUCAGAUUGCACCUCAGCUCGUACGAUCAACAUCAAGUAUAUAAUAGUUAAUGCUGUCUCGACAUACAAAUUGCUUUUGGGAAGGCCUUCUCUGAAUAGGCUAGGUGCGGUGGCCUCAACGGAGCACAUGAAGAUGAAGUUGCCCUCCCUUGAUGGAGUGGUGAUCAUCAUCAAGUUUGAUCAGAAAGCGACAAGGAAGUGCUGUGAGAAUAGCCUGAAGAGAAGGAAGGGAGUGUGCUCCAUCACUGUUCAGGUGCAAGAGUCGGAGGAGAUCAUGCAAAUUGAAGUCACCAACGUGAGGCGACCUGGACCUGCUGGAAAGGUCCAGGAGAAAGAAAUAGGAGGAAAGAAUUUCAAGCUUGAUUCAACUCUUCAUGCAUAGCUUCAACCCACUUCUCAUCCUUGAGAGCUUCAUCAAUUGACUUUGGUUCAAUUUUUGAUACAAAAGUUGUGUUCCUGUAGAAGUUUGAGAUGAAUCUUCGUGUGGAGACACCUUCCUUUAUCUGCCCUAUGAUGUUUUCCACUGAUAGAUCUCUAGGAAUCCUCCAUUCUUUGGGCAACUCACUCUGUUGCAGAAUUUCAAUCGGUUGUUUCUGCGAAUCAACCGAUUGUUUUUCUACACAGAUUUCCAGGUUCUCCAAACUGAUGCUUUGUUCAUCCUCUUCAGCUCUGGUCUUCGGGAUUUGGAUGUUUUUGUGAUCUACCUCUUCAAAGACAACGUGAACUGAUUCUUCUACAGUCAUCAACUUCUUACUGUAGAUUCUAUAUGCAUGACUUGUGAGAGAAUACCCUAUGAAGAUGCCAAAAUUCGCUUUCUCGUCAAACCUCCCUAAGUUUUCCUUUCCAUUGUUGAGAAUGAAACAACUGCAGCCAAAAACUCUGAGACGGUUGAUGUUAGGCUUCCUUCCAUUGAAGAGUUCAUAUGGAGUUUUCUUCAAAAUGGGCCUAAUAAGCACUCUAUUCAUCACAUAACAAGAAGUGCUCACUGCAUCCGCUCAAAAGUACUUAGGAAGAGAUGAUUCACUAAGCAUUGUCCUUGCUAGCUCUUCAAGAGACCUGUUCUUUCUGUCUACCACACCAUUUUGUUGUAGAGUUCUUGGAGCAGAGAAGUUGUGCAGAAUCCCCAUCUUCUCACAGAACUUGCUAAACUUAUCAUUUUGGAAUUCUCCUCCAUGGUCACUUCUAAUAGAGCCUAUGUUGCAGUUCUUUGUAUUUUGCAACCUUCUUACUAGCUUCUUGAAUGCAGAAAAGGCAUCACUCUUUGAUUCCAAGAAAAGAGUCCAAGUGAAACUAGAAAAGUCAUCAACAAUAACAAGAGCAUAAUAAUUUCCACCUAGACUCAGAGUUCUUGAGGGUCCAAAGAGAUCCAUGUGAAGAAGUUCAAGGGGUUUUAAAGAAGAAACAACAUUUUUUAUUUUAAAAGAACUUUUCACUUGUUUCCCCUUUUGGCAUGCUUCACAAAUGUGAUCCCUCUCAAACUUGAGCUUUGGUAGCCCAAUCACAAGAUCCCUUGAAAUUAACUUGUUCAAGUGAUUCAUGUAAAUAUGAGCAAUUCUUCUAUGCCAAAGCCAAGAUUCAUCUUACUUGGAUAGAAGACAUCCAAUUGAACAUGGUGAAGAGAUAUCUAGAAGAUACACAUUAUUGAUUCUCUUACCUACCAACAUUACCAAUUUUGAUAUGAUUCCACUAGCAAAGUAGAGAUGAUUCUUUAACAUUCUAUGGAAUCAACUUGAGUUGGAGAUAGCAUAGGCACUUUUAAUAGAAUUGGAUCAAUGUUCUAUGUUUCAAGAACUCACCAAAACUUGCACCAAACACCAAACUCAUAUGGAAGAUCCAUCUAUUGCCAAUUGAACUGAUUAAAAAGUGUAUUAAGGCAAAUGAACCGAAUAGAAAGCUUUAAAAACAUAAAUGAACCGAACAAAUCCAGCUAGAACAGAAAAGAGCCGAACAUAAAGUGAAAAGGAAACACAAAACCUCAUAGAAAGAAGCUUAAGACAUGUUUAUCGUUUCGUAAAGCAAGGAAGAUGAAGGAGAGAAGAACUUAUGGAGAUGAAGGACUUGGUUUGGUGAUCACGCCACUUGGAUGGUGAAGGCUCCAAGAUAAGUGAGCUACUGUCGCCACUUGAGAGAACCAAAUGCACUCAAGAUAAGACAAGGUGUAGGAGAAGACAAAGUUAUCACAAUUCUCUCUCAAAUUGAGUAGAGUUUCUCUAUUACCAAUUUCAAUUCUCAAUUUUACAAGAGCCCACACCUUUAUUUAUAGUGUGAGGGUGCUGGAAAAUAGGUGGGAAAAUUCAAAUAAAACUCAUUUGAAAUUCCCACCAAAAACAAGUCACAUGAGAGGUGUGACCUUUUUCUACUAUGACACCUCCUAAAAACUACACCUACACCUAUUCUCCUAAGUCACAUGGAUAAUGUGACUUUAUUUUACAUUUUCACACUUCUUUAUUUAAUAUCCACACCUCCUACAACUACACAAGAGUAAUUCAAAUGAUGCUCUUUUAUUUAAUGCUUUGCCUUGCCCCUCAUGGGAUGGACUUGGGCUUUUUGGGCUUUGACCUUCUUGGGCUUGGGCCUCAUCUUUAUUUUAUGUUUUCUUUUAAAUUUGAGAAGACUAGAAGGAAGAACUUCAAAUGUGAAGGCGAAUGUCCUCUUCCUUCAUUAAUAAAAGCCUCCUUUAUUUGAUUCUCAUCAUAUUUGGUGUUGGGUAGAUAUAUUUCACAUGUGUUUAGGGUUUAGGGUUUACCUUCUUGGGCUUGGGCCUCAUCUUUAUUUUAUGUCUUCUUUUAAAUUUGAGAAGACUAGAAGGAAGAACUUCAAAUGUGAAGGCGAAUGUCCUCUUCCUUCAUUAAUAAAAGCCUCCUUUAUUUGAUUCUCAUCAUAUUUGGUGUUUGACUUGAACAUCACUUGAUAUCCCUUGUCACAUAGAUUGCUAAUGCUCAGCAGAUUGUGCUUUAGACCUUCUACAUAGAGCACAUCAUGGAUGACCAAGAUGUCUUUGUCUCCUAUGGAUCCUCUCCCAGGAAUCCUUCCUUUGUUGUUGUCCCCAUAGGUGACAUGCCCUUCUUGCUUAAAGGAGAUGCUCAGGAACUUUGAUUUGUCCCCUGUCAUAUGUUUGGAACAUCCACUGUCCAAGUACCAUUGUUGCUUGCUCUCCUCCAAGAUUUCCUACAAAGAAGAUUUUCAAGUACAAAGAUUUGGUCCGCUUAUGAAUGUGGGUCCAUUUUGUUAUAUUCAUCAAUUGAAUCUUUAUUGCACUUAGGGAUCCACUUCAUAAAGCCCUUAGGAACAACAUAUUUUCUGAUUUUACAGAACCUCACAGAAUGACCUCUUUUCAUGCAAUAGAAGCAUGUAACAAUCGGUUGUUUCGAUGGUCCAAUCGGUUGUUUUUUUGGCAUUUUCGAAAAUGAUUUUGAAAAUCUAUCUUGUUUGUUUUGUGGGUUAAAGCCCAAUCCAGCUUUUCCAAAAACACAGUUUUGAGAUGCCAAGACAUUCUCAAAGUUGGAUUGACUUUUAGAAAGCUUAUCCACAGUUUUAACAAGAUAGUGGACCUUAUUUUCAAGAUUUUCGCAAUUUUCACAAACAAGAGUAUUACACUUGCAAGAGGAGUUUUUGUAAAUGAUUUCAAGGUUUUCAAAAUCUGUUUUUGAAUUUUCUAAUUCCUCUUCCAGUGAUUUACUCUAUUUUCAAGCCAGUUAUUCUUUUCCUUUAACUGAUUGUUCAAGAGGGCCAAUCAGUUGGCUUCUUCAUGUGUUUCUUGAAAGGCUUGAAGUAAUUGACCAUAAUUUUCAGAGUUUGAGGAGUUAGAUGAACUUACACUACUUGAGUCAUCCUCCUUUUUUGCCAUGAAGCAGAGGUUGAGACUUUUCUUGUUUUGCCUUCUUUUCCUUCUUGCUUGACUCUUUGACCUUGCCUCCUUUGGUUCAUUGUUUCCAUGAGCAUCCUUGAGUGUGUCCCACAUCUCUUUAGCAGUUUUGCAUUUUGAUAUCUUGAAAAACUCAUUAGUAUCUAGUGCAGAAGCUAUUAUGUUUUGACCAGUAUAAUCAAGCUUGGCCAUUUUACAUUCAUCAUUGGUCCAUUGAGACCAAGGUUUUGCAAUGAAAGAACCAUUCUUUUUAAACUUUAGAAUGUAAGGACCAUUCUGAAUUGAGUCCCAAAUUCCUUGAUCAAUAGAUUCCACAAAGAUUUUCAUUAUGGCUUCCCAGUACUUGUAAUUCAAUCCACAGAAUAAAGGAGGUUUGUAGAUUGAAGCACCUUCCUCAAAAGAUUGUUUUCCAGCAAUAGAAAAAAGAUUUUUGGAUCAACUUGAAUAACUUUCAAGAACCAAGCUCUGAUACCAAUUGUUAGAAAGUAUGGCUUUAAACUAGUGAAUGGUUUAAAGAGGGAUUUCGAAAACUUUUAAGCCUUGAAUGAAAUUACUUCGAGAAUAUCUUGAUUAAGAAAUCAGCUUUUCAAAAUACAAAGCUAAAAGCACAGCACCAACAAAACAAUCGGUUGUUUCGCAGAAACAAUCGGUUGUUUAUACCAGUCUACAAAUAUAAAAACUGAAUUUAAAGAGUUAAGGGAUAGAGAAAAUGCACACAGAGAUUUAUACUGCUUCACUCUAAACCCAGAGCUACAUCCAAUCUUCUCAGAAACCACUCAGGAACACCACUAAGUAAUCAAACUUAUAUCACUUACAACACAACCAAGAAAGUGACCUUGAUCCCCUCAAGACACACACUUCUCUUGGCCAACACACCAACACUAAGAAUGCUGAUCUUGAUCCCCUCAAGAACACACAACACUUCUUAGCAAACACAUAAAGAUUCUAGUGCAACAGAUACACGGAUUACACUUGUUACAGAAGCAAUUCUGAAAUCAAUACAAGCAGAAAUUUUAUCUCACACUCUUUGAUCAAUCUCAAUCUCUAAGCAAUCUCAACUCUUUGAAAAUCUCAAAAUCUUGUGUUAGUUCUUAAAACUCAAAUCUGUUUUUCUGAAUAUAUUCAAAGAUGUUGUUUGCUAUCAAAUCUUAACAAAUUAUUCAUUGCAUUUAAAUAUUGGUCAAAGCAUUAAAAACUGGAGCGUAAACAGUUGGGAAAACAUUUAAUGCUCAGUCAAAGCACAAAAUAGUUUUCUGUUAUGGUACCAAAACAAAAAAUCGGUUGUUUCCACGAAUCAAUUGAUUGUUUUGGUUUUGACGGCAAGUCAACCAUAAAAACAGUUUUCAAUCUUUUCUAAAAACACCUAAGUAUAAAACAAUUGGUUGUUUCGACCAAACAAUCGGUUGUUUUUCACUUAGUUUGAAAAACACUUUUCUUUUAAAAAGAUUGAGAAUGCCUGUGCUUUUGAUUCAAUCAAGAGUGGAUUACAUAAACAAUCUAUCCCAUAUCCUAUUUAAGACAGCACAGCAACAACAAGCACAGCCUAGCCUUCAACAUCCUUCAAAGGGUUUGGAUUCUUCAAAGCUUGAACACCACUUGGUUCAACACACAUCACCUCCUUCGACUAGUUUUCUGAGUUGCUCAGGGAACAAUUCAUUGUGAACCAGGCCCAACCACUAGUCUCAUUUGAUCUUUUCAACGUGAAACAGAGGCAAGGUGAGUCUCUGAAAAAUUAUUUGAACAGGUUUGAGGCGUUCGAAAUGAAGCUCCAGACCCAUGACGAGCCCUAUAUGGUCAACGCCUUUGGGUAGGGAGUCAUGGAAAGACCAUUAAAGGACUCACUGAUCAGGAAUACGGCAGUAACAUUUGUUAAGAUACGACGUCGAUUUGUGACUCACAUCAGUGCAGAGGAAGCAUUAUCUAUGAAGCACAACAACACACAUCUAGGGCAUACCAAGCCCAAAGAAUGUAGCCAAGCCCGACCUCUGAGGGUCAACGAAGCCACAACUGAGAAGAGGGCAGACGCAAGGCGAACACCAUACUCAGAUAGGAAGAACACGCACAAGGCAAAAGCACGUGAAGACCUGGCAUUUCGGCCAAAGUUCUGAAUGACUUAUAAGGAGUUGUUGAGUAUGCCAGGGGUGAUGGAAAAAUUGAAAUUCCCCCAAAAGUUUGACAGAAACUUAGGGCCACGAAAAGAUACCUGGUGCGAAUUCCACAAAGGAUUUGGGCACGACAUGGAGCGAUGUAUAACUCUGGACUAUCAGUUGGCAGGUUUGGUGAAAGACGGUUUCUUGAAGGAAUAUCUGGAGGGAAACCAAGAAGGGACAAAAGAAGAGAUUGUUUCCGGGGACUAAGGGCAUGAGGUACUAGUCCAUGGCGAGUUGAACACCAUCUCGGGAGGGGGAUGCACUACCUCUAAGCGUAAGAAAUACACGAGAAAGUCAAUAACAAUAGAAGCGAGGAGACCUGGCCAAUCGGCAGAGCCCGACCUCUGCUUUACGAGAUAUGAUUUGGAAGACGUGGUCCCACAUGACGACAAUCCGGUGGUGAUAUCCAUCGUCAUUGUGGGAAGAAGAGAAGACCGAGUUCUCAUCGACCAAGAGAGCUCAGCUGAUGUGAUGUUCUGGAUAACAUUCAAUAAUUUUCGAUUGUCACCUAACCAAUUAAGGCCAUAUGAUGAAUAUUUGUUUGGCUUUGCGGGAGAUCAGGUGGAAGUGCAUGGACAUGUUGAGCUGAGGACAACUUUUUCAGAUUGCACCUCAGCUCGUACGAUCAACAUCAAGUAUAUAGUAGUUAACGCUGUCUCGACAUACAAAUUGCUUUUGGGAAGGCCUUCUCUGAAUAGGCUAGGUGCGGUGGCCUCAACGGAGCACAUGAAGAUGAAGUUGCCCUCCCUUGAUGGAGGGGUGAUCAUCAUCAAGUUUGAUCAGAAAGGGACAAGGAAGUUCUUUGAGAAUAGCCUGAAGAGAAUGAGGGGAGUGUGCUCUAUUACUGUUCAGGCACAAGAGCCAGAGGAGAUCAUGCAAACUGAAGUCACCAACGAGAGGCGACCUGGACCUACUGGUAAGGUCCAGGAGAAAGAAAUAGGAGGAAAGAAGUUCAAGCUCGGAACAUCGAUAUGUCAGGAAUUGUAAGAUAAGAUAGCUAAGGUGUUGAGCAAGAGUGAUCAAGAGCUUUGAAGAAUUCAAAUUGUGCUUUGAAGAAUCCAAAUCCUAUGUGCUUGAUGCAAGGCUGUGUUGCUGCUGUGUUUUGGGAGGGAUCUGGGUAGUUUUACACUCCUUUGUUGAAUCUAAAGCUAACGUGUUUUAAAUCCUUUUUGAAAUAAUGUGUUUUUCUAACUAAGUGAAAAACAACCUGUUGUUUUGUCGAAUCAACCGGUUGUUUUACUCUCAGGAGUUUUUGAAAAGGUUGAAAACUAUUUAAGUUUGGUUGACUUAACUGCCAAACCAAACAAUCGGUUGUUUCGUGGUUUCAACCGAUUGUUUGUUUGAAAAUCCUAACAAAAUUUUGUUUUGGUGGUUGAAUUAAAUGAUUUCCAAUUGAAUACGCUCCUUCAUUAAAUGCUUUGACCAAUCUUUGGAAAUUAUAAAUAGUUUUUUUAUGUUUUCAAACAAGUGAGAGAAACAAAUUUGAGUUUUUCAGUUGUGAAAGAGUUUAUUCAAGAUUUGAACAUUCACAUCAAAGUUUUAGGUUUUCUAAGAGAGUGGAAUAGGAUUGCAUUUGUAUUGAUUUCAGAUUGCUCUGUAAACAAGUGUAAUAUCUUCUCAACCUUCUGUAUUUCUAGUGUUGUGUUGCCAAGGAGUGUUGUGUGCUCUUGAGGUUGUCAAGAUCAAUACUCUUGGUGUGUGAUUUGCCAAAGUGAGUGUGUUUCUUGAAGGGUUAAAGGUCACUGCUUUGGUGGAUUGUGUUUUGUAAUCUGGUUUGAUUACUUAGUGGAUUACCCAGUGGUUUUCUGGGGACUGGAUGUAGCUCAUGGUUUAAGAGUGAACCAGUAUAAACUGUUGGUGUAUCUUUCUCUUACCCUUAAACUCAUUUAAAUUCAGUUUUUAGUUUUACUGGUAUAAACAACCGAUUGUUUCGCAAAAACAACUGAUUAUUUUUAUACUGCUUUGCUGUUUUAUUACUGUUGUUCUUGGCUAACCUGAUUUUUGUUUUGGAUUCAUACAAAGAAGUUUGUUAAAACUAAAAAGAUUUCAAAAACCUCUCUUAAACAAUUCACUCGCCUCUCGUUUAAGGUCAUAUCUUGCUAAUUCAUGAUGUCUUUCAAACUCUUUCAAAUGGAUGUGAAGAGUGCUUUUCUCAAUGGUUUUAUCAAUGAAGAAGUGUAUGUUGGCAACCACCGAGUUUUGAGGAUCAUCAACAUCCCAAUCACGUUUUUAAGUUGAAAAAGGCUUGGUAUGGGCUUAAACUGUUAGAAUGGUUGGCUUUAAACUAGAGGGGGGUGAAUUGUUUAAAGAGGGUUUUCGCAAACUUUUGAGACAAGAAUGAAAUUCUCUGAAGAAAACAAUUGAUAAAGAAUUCAGUUUGCCAAAACAGCAAUAAAAAACAGCAGUACCAGAAAAGCAAUCGGUUGUUUCACAAAAACAAUCGGUUGUUUAUACCAGCAAACAACAAACAAAAUUGAAUUUAAAGAGAUUAAGGAUAGAGAGAUUGCACACAGAUGUUUAUACUGGUUCACUCCAAACCCAGAGCUACAUCCAGUCUUAUCAGAAAACCACUGAAGAAAUCCACUAAGCAACCACACCUUGAUCACUUACACCACAACCAAGAGAGUGACCUUAAUCACCUCAAGACACACACUCUUCUUGGCCAACACACCAACACUAAGAUUGUUGAUCUUGAUCCCCUCAAGAACACACAGCCAAUCUCAGCAAACACAAAUGAAACUAGUUCAGCAGAGUACAAGGAUUACACUUGUUACAAAAGAUAAUCUGAAAUCAAUACAAGCAGAAUCCUAUUCCACACACUUUGAUCAAAUCACAAACUCUAAGCAAUCUCAGCUCUUUGAAAAACUCAAAAACUCUAUUCAAAAUCUUGUUACAGAAAUCUGUUUUUCUGAAUUUAUUCAAAGAUGUUGUUUGUUAUCAAAUCUUAACAAACUCUUUAAUUGCAUUUAAUGAUUGGUCAAAGCAUUUAAAGACUGGAGUGUAAGCAGUUAAAUCAUUUAAAGCUCAGUCAAAGAUAAAACAGUUUUUCUGUUAUGGUACCAAAACAAAUAAUCAGUUGUUUCCUCGAAUCAAUCGGUUGUUUUGGUUUUAACAGCUCAACCAUUUGAAAAACAGUUUUCAAUCUUUUCUAUAAACAAUCGGUUGUUUCCACAAAACAAUCGGUUGUUUUUAACUUAAUUUGAAAAGCAUUUUUUUUUCAAACAGAUUGAGAAUGCCUAUGCUUUAGAUUCAAUCAAGUGUGGAUUACAACACUCAAACUACCCCAGAUCCUAACUAAAACAGCACAGCAACAACAAGCUCACCCAAGGCUUCAACAUCCUUCAAAGGGUUUGGAUUCUUCAAAGCUUGAACACCACUUGGUUCAACAUAAACAAGCUCCAAGGCAGUGGUAUGAGAGGCUUAAUAACUUCCUUUUAUCCCAUGGCUAUGAAAGAGGAAUGAUUGACAAAAAAAAUUUCAUCAAGAAAGCAAAUUCUGAAAUUAUUUUGGUCCAAAUCUAUGUUGAUGACAUCAUUUUUUGUGCUACCAAAGAUAGUUUGUGUGAGGAGUUUGUUGUUGCAAUGCAAGAUGAGUUUGAAAUGUCCAUGAUGGGAAAACUUUUCUUCUUUCUUGGGCUGCAUGUUAAACAAUCAAAGGAUGGUAUUUUCUUAUGUCAAUCAAAGUAUUGCAAAGAAAUCCUCAAGAAAUUUGAGAUGGAGAGUUGCAAGGAAGCUAGCACACCUAUGCCUUCAAGCUGUUAUAUGGAUGCAGAUGCUGUUGGAAAAAGGGGUAGAUUAAACAAAAUAUAGAGGCUUAAUUGGUUCUUUACUCUAUCUCACAACAAGUAGACCGGAUAUCAUGUUUGUCGUAUGUCUUUGUGCAAGAUAUCAAGCAAAGCCAAAGGAAUCUCACUUCAAGGCUGCCAAAAGGAUUCUCAAAUAUCUCAAAGGAACUACUAAUGUUGGUCUAUGGUAUCCUUCUUACUCACCUAUACAUUUAAUUGGAUAUUUAGAUUCUGACUUUGCAGAGUGUAAGCUGGACCAAAAAAGCACAAGUGGCACUUGUCAUCUUCUUGGAUCAAGUCUCAUUUCUUGCCAUAGUAAGAAACAAGCUUGUGUAGCUCUUUCCACUACAGAAGCUAAAUACAUUGCUGCUGGGAGCUGUUGUUCACAAAUUCUUUGGCUUAAACAGCUGCUUGCAGAUUUUAGAUUGAAGAUUAGUAAGGUUCCUUUGCUUUGUGACAACACAAGUGCUAUAAAUCUCACCAAAAAUCAGAUUUAGCACUCAAGAACAAAGCACAUUGAGAUUCUUCAUCACUUCAUAAGAGAUCAUGUGAACAAUGGAGAUUGUGAGAUGAAGUUCAUUGAAACAAAACUACAGCUUGCUGAUAUAUUCACAAAACCUUUGGCAAAAGACAGGUUUUUCUUUUUAAGAAAUGAGUUAGGCAUUCUUGACUCUCAAAAUCUCUCUUAAACUGCUUUCUAUGCAUAAAGUCUAUUUGUGAAGACAAAUAGGGGGAGAAUUGGUUUCUCUGUUGCUCUACAAACUGUUUUAAACUAUUAAAGCUCUUUCAUUUCUGUUUUUAUGCUUCUGCUGAUAGAAACAACCGAUUGAAUCGAGGAAACAACCGGUUGUUUAUCUGAUAUAUAUUGGUUUUUGGCUGGUUUUUCUGCUAUAAGGUCUAUGCAGAAAACCAAUUAAUGUGCUAUUCUAACCUGCUGUUAAAGAUGCUCUAGUUUGCAUAAGUUUUGCUUUGCAGGUGCUGUUUCAGAUUCAAACAAAGACCAACACAAGCAACCAGGGAUUUGUCUUCAUCAAAUAGGGGGAGAUUGUUGAUCAAGAGUGAUCAAGUGCUUUGAAGAAUUCAAGUUGUGCUUUGAAGAAUCCAAAUCCUAUGUGAUGUUUUGGAAAAAGACCUCUUAAAUGGUGACAACCAUUAGGAGGUAUGAACAAAUCUUCCCUAACAUUUUUUAACCAAGAUGGUGGUGAAAUAGGAACCUUGGGUAAUGAAAAAGAUAAGGAAGGAAAACACCUUGGAGGUGAAAGGAUAAGACCCAUGUCAACUUGGCCUUCUUUGUCUUUUUCUUGUUUACNNNNNNNNNNNNNNNNNNNNNNNNNNNNNNNNNNNNNNNNNNNNNNNNNNNNNNNNNNNNNNNNNNNNNNNNNNNNNNNNNNNNNNNNNNNNNNNNNNNNCAGUAAGUAAAUCAAUUGCAAUAAGGAAAAAACAGUAAGCACUUUUUUCAGAAACAGAGGAAUCCUAAUAGGACUAAAAAACAGGAUUAUGAACUAGCAAAGACAUAAUAGAAAAUGAUGUAUUGGAACUUGUAUAGGUCUAGAAUACAAGUAUGAACUCAAUUCUAAAAAGAAAAUGCACAAAGGAUCAAUAUCAAUUCAGAAAAUUAUAGACACUAAAGCAAGAAACAAUCAAAACAAGAAAAGUACUACUAGAAGUAAUGACAAUUAUGGAAUAACAUGACUAAGACAAAACUUGACAUGAUUACAAAAUUAAAAGACACAUCACAAAUUUUAACAACAAGUGAAAGGAAGCUUANNNNNNNNNNNNNNNNNNNNNNNNNNNNNNNNNNNNNNNNNNNNNNNNNNNNNNNNNNNNNNNNNNNNNNNNNNNNNNNNNNNNNNNNNNNNNNNNNNNNGGAUAAUGCCAUUCCAAAAGAGCAACCAUACUCAUAAGAAUUAUGAGUGCCAUAAACCUUUUCACAAGCACUUGGUGUAAAAGAAAAACAGCAAGAAUACUCAAGUAAAAUUCUAAAACAGAAACUUAAAUUGCAAGAAAUUAAAAGAGCUCUUGAAAUUAAAGUGCACACAACUCAACAAUUAAACAAGAAGAACCUAAGACUCAUGAUACCACAUGAUGUGAUUCCAAUAGCCACAUAGAGAAAGGUUCUUGACCUUCUAAGGAAUCAACUUGAGUUGGACAAUAGUUAGGCACUUUUUCUUAGAAUUGGAUCAUUGUUCUAAGUCAAGAACUCUCCAAAAACUAGCACCAAUUCCAAACUCAUAUGGAAGUUCCAAUUAUAGUCAAAUUGAACCGAACAAAAUGGAACAAAAGAUAAGCAAACUGAAAUAGAAGUGCUGGAAAUUAAAAUGCACCGAACCAAAACAGAAAAGAAUAAGAACAGCUGCUGGAAAAUGAAAGAUAACCAAACCAAAACUCAAGAACACAAGCUAAACAUGAACAAUUGAAAGAGUAGGAAGGAAGGAGAAGAGAAAAGCUUAUGGAGAUGGAAGAGAAGGUGAGUGAUCACGCCACUAGAAGGAUGGUUGCUCCUAGAUGAGUGUGCUGCCGCCACUUGAGGACACCAUGGAUCCUUCAAGAUAAGACUAGAGAAGAAGGCUCAAAAGCUCUCCAAUGCCCACUCAAAAAUUGAGUAUAGUUUCUUUCUCUAAUUUCAAUUCUCAAUUGUACAAGCUAAGCACCUUUAUUUAUAGCCUAGAGGUGCUGAAAAAUAGGUGGGAAAUUUCAAAUAAAACUCAUUUGAAAUUCCCACAAAAAACAAGUCACAUGGGAGGUGUGACCUUUUUCUACUAUGACACCUCCUAAAAACUACACCUACGCCACUCUCCUAAGUCACAUGGACAAUGUGACUUUAUUUUACAUUUUCACACACCUUUAUUUAAUAACCACACCUCCUAAAACUAUACAAGAGUAUUUCAAAGCUUGGCCUUGCCCCUCAUGGGAUGGACUUGGGCUCUUUGGGCUUUGGCCUUCUUGGGCUUGGGUUUGGGCUUUGGGAUUGGGCCUCAUCUUUAUUUUAUGUCUUCUUUUAAUUUUGAGAAGACUAGAAUGAAGAACUUCAAAUGUGAGGGUGGAUGUCCUCUUCCUCCAUUAAUAAAAGCCUCCUUUAUUUGAUUCUCAUCAACUCCUUUGUUGAAUCUAAAGCUAACGUGUUUUAAAUCCUUUUUGAAAUAAAGUGUUUUUCUAACUAAGUGAAAAACAACCUGUUGUUUUAUCGAAUAAACCGGCUGUUUUACUAUUAAAAGUUUUUGAAAAGGUUGAAAACUAUUUAAGUUUGGUUGACUUAACUGCCAAACCAAACAAUCGGUUGUUUCGUGGUUUCAACCGAUUGUUUGUUUGAAAAUCCUAAGAGAAUUUUGUUUUGGUGGUUGAAUGUGCUUUAAAUGAUUUCCAACUGAAUACGCUCCUUCAUUAAAUGCUUUGACCAAUCUUUGGAAAAUAUAAAUUGUUUGUUUAUGUUUUCAAACAAGUGAGAGAAACAAAUUUGAGUUUUUCAGUUGUGAAAGAGUUUAUUCAAGAUUUGAACAUUCACAUCAAAUUUUUAGGUUUUCUAACAGAGUGGAAUAGGAUUGCAUUUGUAUUGAUUUCAGAUUGCUCUAUAAACAAGUAUAAUCUCUUCUCAACCUUCUGUAUUUCUGGUGUUGUGUUGCCAAGGAGUGUUGUGUGCUCUUGAGGUUGUCAAGAUCAAUAUUCUUGGUGUGUGAUUUGCUAAAGUGAGUGUGUUUCUUGAAGGGUUCAAGGUCACUGCUUUGGUGGAUUGUGUGUUGUAAUCUGGUUUGAUUACUUAGUGGAUUACCCAGUGGUUUUCUGGGGACUGGAUGUAGCUCUUGGUUUAAGAGUGAACCAGUAUAAACUGUUGGUGUAUCUUUCUCUUACCCUUAAACUCAUUUAAAUUCAGUUUUUAGUUUUACUGGUAUAAACAACCGAUUGUUUCGCAAAAUCAACUGAUUGUUUUUCUACUGCUUUGCUGUUUUAUUACUCUUGUUCUUGGCUAACCUGAUUUUUGUUUUGGAUUCAUACAAAGAAGUUUGUUAAAACUUAAAAAGAUUUCGAAAACCUCUCUUAAACAAUUCACUCCCCUCUCGUUUAAGGUCAUAUCUUGCUAAUUCAUGAUGUCUUUCAAACUCUUUCAAAUGGAUGUGAAGAGUGUUUUUCUCAAUGGUUUUAUCAAUGAAGAAGUGUAUGUUGAGCAACCACCGGGUUUUGAGGAUCAUCAACAUCCCAAUCACGUUUUUAAGUUGAAAAAGGCUUUGUAUGGGCUUAAACAAGCUCCAAGGCAGUGUAUGAGAGGCUUAAUAACUUCCUUUUAUCUCAUGGCUAUGAAAGAGGAAUGAUUGUUUUUCUGCUGCUUUGCUGUUUUAUUGCUUUUGUUCUUGGGUAACUUGAUUUUUGUUCUGGAUUCAUACAAAAAAGUUUGUUAAAACUUAAAAAGAUUUCAAAAACCUCUCUUAAACAAUUCACCCGCCCCUCUCGUUUAAGGCCAUAUAUUGUAACACAGGGUAAUAUCGAAGCACGUGAACGCUUUUCCUUGGUUAUCUGCAGACAUGCCUGAGAUAGAUCCAGACUUCUUGUGCAAUAGGCUUACUAUGGACAAGAAGGUUAGACCUGUAGUACAAAGAAGAAGGAAGUUUAAUGAGGAAAGGCGCCUAAUCAUCAGGGAAGAGACACAAAAGCUUCUGAAAUUUCACCACAUAGAGGAGAUUCAAUAUCCCGGGUGGUUGGCAAACGUAGUGUUGGUACAAAAGGCUAAUGGGAAGUGGAGGAUGUCCGUUGACUUUAGUUAUCUGAAUAAGGUUUGUCCCAAGGACUCUUAUCCACUGCCCAACAUACUCCUUGGUGACAGUGCCUCAGGUCGUCGACUGCUAAGUUUCCUAGAUGCAUUCUCGUGGUAUAACCAGAUCCGUAUGCACCCCCGAGAUGAGAGUAAGACCGCCUUCAUAACCGAACUCUUCAACUAUUGCUACAAGGUCAUGCCCUUUGGCCUCAAGAAUGCUUGUGCCACCUGUCAAAGGUUGAUGGAUAGAAUCCUCGCCCCAAUGAUUUGGUGGAAUGUAUAGGCGUAUGUAGACGACAUGGUCGUCACUUUAGAAGAGAAGGAUUAGCACAUUGUUGAUUUGGAAGAGUUGUUCAACACGAUAGUUCAAUACAACUUGAAGUUAAACCCAGAAAAAAAUGUGUGUUUGGGGUGGAGGUAGGAAAGUUCCUCGGGUUUUUUCUUACUAAACGGGGUAUAGAAGCGAACCGAAAUAAGUGCGCAACAAUCAUAGGAAUGAGGAGCCCGACCAAUGUAAAGGAGGUUCAACAACUGACUAGAUGCAUGACUGCUUUGUUUAGAUUCUUGUCAGCUGGUGGAGAUAAUGGGUAUUUUUAUUUCCAAUGUUUGAAGAAGAAUAAUUGUUUUGUAUGGAGUCGCGAGUGUGAAUAGGCCUUCAUCAGGUUGAAGGAGUAUCUAGCCAGCCCACCUGUCCUCUGUAAGCCAUUGUCAGGUACUGCCAUUCAUCUUUACUUUGUAGUCACUGAUCGGGCAAUCAGCUCGGUCAUUGUGUAAGAAUAAGACCGGGUCCAGAGGCUUGUUUACUUCGCGAGCAAGGUGUUGCAAGGGCCAAAGACGCGGUAUCAGGCUAUUGAAAAGGUUGCUUUGGCAGUGGUAUUCGCAGCCCCACGACUCCGCCAUUAUUUCCAAAGUUUCACUGUAAUAGUGAUGACUAAUCUGCCCAUCUGCAAGGUUUUUCAGAAGCCCACCAUAGCAGGUCGAAUGGUUCAUUGGACAAUUGAGUUGUCUGAGUUUGACGUGUAGUAUGAACCCCGUGGGCCCAUAAAGGGUCAGGUAUAUGCUGAUUUUGUGGUAGAACUAUCAUCUGAGGCUACCCAGCCAGAUGGUAAUGACUUCCAGUGGGUCCUUUCAGUGGAUGGAUCUUCUAACCAACAAGGGAGCAGUGAUGGGGUCAUCCUAGAAGGACCAAAUGGGUUGUUGAUCAAGCAGGCCUUGAGGUUUGCCUUCAAAGCCAACAACAAUAAGGAUGAAUAUGAAGCCUUGAUAGUUGGGACGUUGUUUGCUAAGGAGUUGGGUGCUCGAAACUUGUUGGUGAAGAGUGACUCGUUGUUGGUUAUUGGGCAAGUCACAGGUGAGUACCAAGAUAAAGACCCACAGUUGGCAUCGUACCUCAAGUAUGUUGUGUUUCUGAAAAUAGCUUUCUCCACGUUUGAGCUGGUGCAUGUCCCAAGAGAACAUAAUUCCCGAGCUGAUUUGCUAUCCAAACUGGCGAGCUCGGGGAAGGGAGGUCGACAAAGGUCAGUCAUUCAGGAAACCUUGAAGUCGCCUACGACCAUUGCGGAGGGGAUGGCAGAGGUCAACCAUGUAGAAGCCUUGGGGGUGAGCUCGGAACAAGGGAGGAGGCACCGAUCGUUGACACAGGAGACAUUGAAAGUGCCAAGGAUAAGCACCUAUGGCUUAUUGGGAGAUGGGUCAUCGGAGGUUUUGCAGGUCGACGCGAUAGAGACCUGGAUGACACCAUAUUAGUGCUACCUAGCUAAUGGUUUGCUCCCGGCAGAGCCUACAGCGACGAAGGCGAUUAAGAGGUGAUCCUGACUGUUGACCAGAACGCUGGAGCCUUGCCUCGUCAAAUCUGGAUCGACUUUGCACCGUGAUAGCUUAUGUCCUUCGCCUUGAUUCACCUCAAGAACCUGCAAAAGACAGAACGGCGCCGCUGCGGCCGAUCACGCUCCGACGCCCAAGUCAGCGACUGAACCACCAAAAUACUAAGAGAAAACUAAGAACUUCAGGAACCAUGCAAUAUUCUCUCUCAGUGUACUCCAGUUCUCGCGAGCGUAAAAGAAGUAUUCUAAAAUGCGCGUACCUCAGAAGUUCGUUAGGAUUCCUUAUAUACCUGUGCAUUUUCUCUCUCUUGACAGUUACACAUCUGGACAUGUGGCUCGUAUCCAGCUGUACACGUGUCACCAUCUGGAGCAUCCUUGACUUGAGCGUCGCCUCUUACUCUUCAGGCUUUUCGACUAAGUUACUUAUGCAGGAAGCAAUUCAGCGUAUAACUGCCUUGGAGCGCGAUAUCUUCUGCGUGGCGAGUACGGGUGUCUUCAUAUACACCUUCCCUGUGGUCUCGCCGGCCGCCAUUAUAUUCUACUUUACUUACUUCACUGUGCAUGCUCGGGUAAGCUGUUCCUCGACCUUAACCUCUGGCCAGCUAGGGAAUGACCAUCUGACGACUUCAUCCUUUGCUUCGAAAGCCUGGAACAAGCUUUCCUGAUCCUUCGGCGAUGUCAUCCUCUCGGCGAUCUUCGAUCGUCUUGUCGCCUAGGUUCGCACCCGGUGACUACAACACAAACUUGGUGACCGCCGUUUUAGGCAUGCUAGAGAUCGGGCACGCCAACUUAACGACUGGCGAUCACACGAGCCUCCCGACGUCCUUCCCUUCUACCAGCCAGGUGUCCCGUUCAACACGCCUAUACUAUUGUUUGCGGCCACGUCAUCAAUUCCGACUACCUGGGCGGUACACAAGCCCCCCAGUCUUAAGCGAAGACUUGUCCAGCGAAAAGACUAAGAGGUCACGUCACUGCCGAUCUACGUGGCGCUGGUGCGGAAUUCCAAACGUUUGUACCCUCUGCUUUUCUGACGCUCCACCAAACCCCUUUCGCAAUCGCCCGACACGUGGUUUCAUCAACGAUCAUCUUCAGUUGUCGUUUGCGCUUCCAAAAACGUUUGAAAAACCCUUAAACCCCUUCAUUUCUACUGUUUCAUCAUCUCUCUGCAUUCUCGAAACGCUCUGAGUUUUCUCUGCAAACCCACAACGCUUCUCAGCUCCCUCAAUCUCCAAUUCCCUUCAACGCUCAUCUGAUCAUCGAAAGGUACCUCUUUUACUUCUUCUGUUGAUACAUGCUGCAUUUUAACCGAUUCGCAUCAUCCAUUAUCAAUUUACUACCCCAUGUUGAGUUUGCAUAUAACCGAGUAGUAAAUUCUACCACCUCUCAUUCUCCUUUUGAGGUAGUCUAUGGGUUUAAUCCCCUAACACCUCUUGAUCUUCUUCCUAUUCCCCUUCUUGAAGAUGUCUUGUGCAAAGAUGGGGAUGAAAAGGCUUCUUUUGUGAAAACUUUGCAUAAAGACAUCAAGAAGAGAAUUGAGAAGAAGGUUGGCAAGUAUGCUGAACUUGCCAAUAAAAGGAGAAAAGCAUUGUUGUUUGAUGAGGGCGAUUGGGUUUGGCUUCAUUUGAGGAAGGAUCGUUUUCCUACUCAAAGGAAGUCCAAACUAAUGCCUCGAGGGGAUGGACCUUUCCAAGUCCUCAAGAGGAUUAAUGACAAUGCUUAUGAGUUAGAUAUGCCUGAUACAUUCUUAGGUAGUCAUACUUUUAAUGUCAGCGAUCUAACUCCUUUUUCUGUAGGUCUCCAGAAUUCGUGGUCGAAUUCUCUCCAACUCGGGGAGUAUGAUGGAGAUCAAGCCCAAGAGAACAUGGAGGCCACUCAUCAAGCUCAAGAAGAGGUGGAGGCACAAAUGGAGGACGCCCAUGGAGGUCAAAGUCCACCUCAAAGGAUUACAAGAAGCAUGUUCAAAGCCUUGGGAGCUAGAGGACAUUUAUUUUCUCUUUUUGUAGUGUCUUUAGUUGAAGGUGCUUAGAGGGAAACCUUAGAAACCUCUUUUGUUAUAGCAUCUUUUAGGCUUUAGUUAGGAGCUUUAGGGGGGUGUAUUAGUAGAUAGGUGUAGAAGUAGAAUAGGGGGUGCCAAAGUAAAGGAAAGGAUCACACCUUCCUUGCUUAGCAAAUAGGCGCCGGUUCUAGUUUGAAUUAGGAGGGAAUUUUAAUUGUUUUAGCUUUCUUUUUCAGCACCUUAGGCUAUAAAUAGAGGUGCCUUCCUUGUAAAUUUCAGAUUUGAAUUUUAUCUAAAGAAACUAUACUCAAAAUUGGAGUGAGCAUUUGGAGAGCUUUGAGCUUCUUCUCUAGUCUUAUCUUGAAGGACCAUGGUUUCCUCAAGUGGCGGCUUCCACACUUAUCUAGGAGCAUCCAUUCUUCUAGUGGCGUGAUCAUCCAACCAUUCCUCCAUCUUCAUGAGCAUUCUCUUCUCCUUCCUUUCUUCUUCUUCAAUUUGUUCAUGUAGCCUUGAGUUUUGAGUUGUUUUUGUUUCGGUUCCUUUAAUUUUCCAGCACCUAUAUUCUGUUUACUUCUUAAUUCUGUUCGGUACUUUUGUUUUUAAUUCAAUUCUGUUCGGUCUCUUCUUUUCAUUCUCCUUUGUUGAUUCAAUUUGACAAUAUUUGGUUCAUCCAAAUGAGUUUGGGAUUUGGUACUUGUUAUUGGUGAGUUCUUGAUCUUAGAACCAUGAUCCAACUUCUAAGAAAGUGCCUCUACAUUUUCCAACUCAAGGUGAUUCCUCAAAGUGUCAAGAAUCUUGUUCUAUGUGGCUAUUGGAAUCACAUCAUUUCCUCUUCUUCUUACUUCUCGUAACUUAGGGCUUCGUCCUCCAUUACUUUCAUCACAACGAACUCCCGUUCGUUCGUUCUCCAUUCUUUGUCCACAAUCGAGUCGAUCUCUGUAACCUUUGUUAAUCCUUUUUCCUUUUUCCUUUGCUGUUCACGCGAUGGCUCGUACGAAAACCACCGCGAAUCCUCCUCCUUCAUCACGAAACCCUCCACCCCAAGCGCAUAACUUACCACGAGCAUCUGGUGCUCUUUCUUCCAGGCUGAGAGGCCUGCGACCUCUCACCCCAAUCUCACUCAGGCAACUCCACCAGUCGCCGGAGGAGCCUCCGUCGACACACGAGACUACAAGAAGCUUUAUCCGUGGGCCACCUCAGCUCUGUUGAAAGAAACCUCUUCCAUAAACACAACGUUGGGCGUGCACCGACUAAGGAAAGGGGACCAAUCUGAUCUUUCAUUCCAUAAGGAGCAUGACAACAAAAUGGUCGUGCUGCCCUGCCACCCGGAUGAACCAAUCUGUGCUGACAAUAAAGCGAGCAACGGCGAGCUGUUCUGCUUUCUCUACACGACGUUCUUCAAGAAGGUGAAGCUCCGACUUCCCUUCACUCGCUUCGAGAGGGAAUUACUAACUGAGCUCAACAUCGCCCCCGCCCAGCUUCACCCCAACAGCUGGGUGUUCGUAAGGGCGUUCCAGAUCAUGUGCGCACACCUAGGACUGCCAGCUUCGGUUGACGUUUUCCUCUUCCUCUUUGAAGCUAAGAAUCCUGGAGACCGCCUCUGGAUUAGCCUGAACGGGAUCGCUGGGAGGUCAAUCCUCUCCAUCUUCCAGCAAUAUUACAAAGAUUGGAAAGGGAAAUUCGUGAAGGUGUGCGCCAACGACCAGGAUCCUUCCCUGCUCGACGACUUCCCCUAGUACUGGGUACACAAGGGGAACAAAGACGCCAAAGAGAGCUUUAGGAGGCCCAGAAGUCCCGACAACAUGGGCGAGCUAGACAAGGAUCUAUGCCUUUUCUGGAAGAAAGUAGCAGCCGCCAACAUCACCUUUCCCACCUCCGCAAUAAUCUCCUUCGAGUUCCUCGAGGACCAACUCGAAGCUCACAUAGGUUAGCACUUACCUCGACAUUUAGGUUUUCGUCUUGUGUUGGAACUGAUUGCACAUCUCUGUUAUCUACCAUCGAGCGUCCUGCUUGUUGCGCACUGGACUUGGUUUUUAAUUCAUGCGCCAUUUGUUUGCAUCAUUCGCACACGUACUCAUAUAUUUUGCUCUUGCUUUGUGCUUACUUGUAUAUUUUUACCCUGUGCAGACCUCAUGUUGGGCAAAGGCAAACUAGUUGAACUGAGGGCGCUCGCCCGAACUCAUAAGUUGGUGACGGGUUCCCAAACCGUGCCCAACUCGGUGGUGGAGAUCGUCGCUGCCCAGGGUAGAUUGCCUCCUCAAGGCCCAGCUCCUCCAGAGACACUGCCCGCCCCCCAACGAAAAAAGCUCAUCUUAAGGAAACCAAAGAGGAAAACUCCUCAAGUGGUUCAAGAAGAUGAGGAUGAGGAUGAUGAGGCGACUGAGGACGGCCUUGUCACCAAAAGGAAAAGGGUGGCACCUUCUUCACCACCCGCUCUCCCAACACCAACACCGCCCUCUCUCCUAGCUCCAGCACCGCCCUCUCCCCCAGCUCCAACACCGCCGGUCCAAGCAACACCCUUGGCAGUCGCGCUUCCUGCGGUUGAAGGCAACAAGCCCAACUUCAUGGAGAACCCUCCUAGCGCCUCCACGCCGUUCGUAUCUGCUGGAGAGGGUCCUCCUUCAACUGCCUCAAUUGCUGAAGCCGCACCAGGUGGGGAUGAAGGCGCUCACAACUCGCCGAUACUCAUAACCGAGUCCCCCACUUCACCACCACGCCAGGAAGCCCCCCUUGCUCAACCAAUUCAAGAGGGUGGUGGUGAGAGUCAGCACCAGGCUCCUUUAGCGCCUCCACCAGCAGCAGCUGCAAGCCUUCCCCCCUUGGUCAAAGAAGUCUGGGGGCCUUUCACAGCUAAGCUAAAGAUGAUGGCAGAGGACCUUCCCUCAAUCAUAACAAAGGCUGUGAAGAGCUCCAACAAAAAGCUUCAGGACGAGAUCUCCACACUCCAGGAGGAGAAUCGCCUGAUAAGGAUCGAGGCGGAAAAGCUGUCUUGCAACCUGAUGAUGGCAGAGAUCGAUCACUCAAGGGUGGAGGACGCCAUGAGUGCCGAGUUGAAGGUUACGCGCAAGGAGGCCUCCGAUCUGCACCAGAAACUGCACCUCCUACAGGCUUAAGAUGGCCAACUUGGAGGCAUCGAUGAAAGCGGAUGCAGCCAAGGUAGAGAACCUUGAAAAGAGGUCGGCUGAUCGGGAGGUUAUCCUUGGAAAGCUCAAGAAGGAGAGGGACGACGCCGUGGACGAGCUCGCCAAGGCUCGAGAGGAAAACGAGAAAAUUGUUGCAGAGCUGGCCCAGGCGCGGGGAGAAGGCAAGAAGGUUGCUGACGACCUUGCUCAGGCUCGUGGGGAAACUGAAGAACUGAAGAAGCGAGCUGACGAGCUGAAGCAGCAAACCGAGGGGCUCAAACAACAAAACGAAGAGCUCGAACUAAGCUCCGCCCAAGUCCUUGCCGCCGGAUUCGACGCCGCCCUGGAGCAAGUCGCCUGCCAGUACCCCGAGCUCGACCUUUCCAUGGUGUCGAUAUGUAAUGAAGUGGUGGAUGGGAAGAUCGUGCCUUCUGAAGAUUAGUCGUCUCCCUCCAUCACUUAUUCCCUGGGAAUUAAUGCUUGUUCCUUUUUGCACAAACUUUACCUGUAAUAACUUUUUCUUUUCUUCUUAUGCAUUCGAACUGAUACCACCUUUAUUAUAAAUUCUCCCGCUUCCGCACAUGGUCUCUCUGUUUACUUUGCUUUUCCUUGUAGAAACCGCUUAAACAAAUUAACAUAGCGAUUAUGCGGGCUCAAUCGUUUACUUACUGCUUCAAACUCGAGCAAACUAUCAACUUUCAAACGAUGGCAUUUUAAUAACUUGUGAACUUAAGGCAACGAACUUCAGCGUGAAACUACUUACUAAACAACAAGCUUCGAUCCAACUGAUAGUUUAAGAUAUAGUUCACCUGAUCUGCUCCAUCGAAAUGGGCCCUUACUCUUGCCAUCACCUGAACUUCUUCUGAUCGCCAUAGGGUCCCGGCGAUGUAAGCUUCCUUUUGCCUUCAUAACUUGGCUAUUGUUCCCUCAUCUGGGGGUAGAGGCGCCUUUCGAAUCCUUCUCUACCUCCCUGAGUUUCAGAACAAUAAGCCGGAUAGCUAGGCGUUCUCUUUGAACCUACCUUAGCCAUCCUUUAAACUUCUUCCACCCUCCACACCGUACCUGAACUCGUUCGAGACGAGAAGGAUUUUAUCUUGCCUGAACUCGCUCGACGGCGAGUAGGUCUUUAUCUUGCCUGAACUCGCUCGACGGCGAGAAGGUCUUUAUCUUGCCUGAACUCGCUCGACGGCGAGAAGGUCUUUAUCUUGCCUGAACUCGCUCGACGGCGAGAAGGUCUUUAUCUGGUGCCUCUACUUUGCCCAGGGAUUACAUCUCCUCUUCCCUGGAUGCACUGAGGACUUUUAACUUGUUCUCGCCUGCACUCGCACAAAGUCGAGGAGGACUUUAAUCUCAUUCUCGCCUCAGGACGCGCGAGGGCGUUGAGGUCUUUUAAACAUUGUUGGUGCCUCCGAUCGCCGAAAGACGAUGAGGACUUUUAACUUUAACUGAUGCCGCCAAUCGCCGAAAAGCGAUGGGGACUUUAAAACUUUUAGAAAGCAUGCAGCAUAUCUUCAAACAUGCCUUAAAUCACAUACGAGUGUCAAGGUCUUUUUCUAAAACUUUCGAAACAACAAGCAUGCAAUCUUAGAAACUUUAAACUUUGAAAACUCUUCUUUAUUGGGUGGCCUCAUUAAAAACCCUCCUUAGGGAAAAAAGAGUGCCCCCUUCAAACUGUUUUAACAGAAAGCUUGCAAAUCUCUUCGUGUUUGUUUUUACUUACAAAGUUUCAACUGUAAUAUAACUUGAGGUGUGUGGCGUUCCAAGUGCGAGGAAUCGCCCCUCCUUCCAAUGUUUCUAAGCGGUAGGCGCCGUUCCCGAGCGCCUCGGUUAUUCUGAACGGUCUCGUCCACUUAGGCGACAACUUGUUUUCCAUCUCGUACUGGUGGGUCUUCCUCAUCACCAAGUCGCCUUCUUUAAACUGCCUUGGCAUCACCUUCGAGUUAUACCUUCGUUCAAUCCUCCUUUUCACUGCCUCGGCUUUUACUCUCGCCUCCUCCCUGACCUCAUCCAGUAAAUCCAGAUUCAACCUUCUUUCCUCAUUCGAGUCUUCCGCUACAAAGUUCUGGAAUCUCGGCGAGCUCUCCUGGAUUUCCACUGGAAUCAUCGCGUCGCAUCCAUAGACCAAGCUAAACGGGGUCUCAUGGGUUCCUGGCUGCUCGGUGGUGUGGUAUGCCCAAACUAUGUGGGGUACCUCCUCAGCCCACAAUCCCUUGGCUUUCUCCAGCCUCCUCUUCAAGCCUCUUAGCAACACCCGAUUGGCGGACUCUACUUGGCCAUUUGUCUGAGGGUGCUCGACGGAUGCAAAUACUUGUUGAAUUCCCACCUCUUCGCACAGCCUCUUCGACAGAUGACUUGCAAACUGAGUCCCGUUGUCUGACACCAGGCACUUAGGCACACCAAACCGGCACACGAUGUUCUUCCACACAAAGCUCUCGAUCUUGUGUGCGGUGAUCUGGGCUACUGGUUCUGCUUCGAUCCACUUGGUGAAAUAUUCAAUUGCCACCACCAAGUACUUCAUCUGCCUGAUCGCCAAUGGGAAAGGUCCCAGGAUGUCGAUUCCUCACGUAUGAAACGGCCAAGGGUUGUAAAUCGACUUUAACUCUUCUGGCGGCGCUUUGUGCCAAUCGGCGUGCUGCUGACAUUGCUUGCAACACUGUGCAUACCUCUUGCAGNNNNNNNNNNNNNNNNNNNNNNNNNNNNNNNNNNNNNNNNNNNNNNNNNNNNNNNNNNNNNNNNNNNNNNNNNNNNNNNNNNNNNNNNNNNNNNNNNNNNUGUUGGCCAGUAGUAACCUGCACGGAGGGUUCUUGCGGCCAGAGCUCGACCCCCGACGUGACUUCCGCAUAUCCCUUCAUGAAGCUCGGCCAUAAUUCUUGUACAUUUCUCUCCGUGCACACAUUCCAGGAGUGGGUGUGUGAACCCAAACCUAUACAACUCGCCAUCAAUCAUUGUGAACUUGUUGGAGUUCUUCUUUAUCUUCCUAGCCUCCGUCGGAUCCAGCGGGAGAAGGCCAUCUGCCAAGCAUCGCUGGUAUUGUGUUAUCCAUGUGUCUGGCUCAUGCGUAGCGCAGACCUGCGUCAUGUUCACCCUCUCCCCCCGACAUGCUCUUAUUCUCGGCGAUCUCAAGGUUUCCUGAGUCAAAGACCUGUGACUCCUCACCGCUUUCUCCGUCGACUUGCUUAUUUGAAGGACCAUGUGGUCUGCCACAAAUGCUCUAGGCGUCUUCAGAGUUUCUUGGAUCACCGUCCUCUGCCUACCCCCUUCGCCCGAACUGGCGAGCUUAGCUAGCAAGUCUGCUCGGGCAUUCUGCUCUCUGGGCACAUGCACCACUUCAAAGGAGACAAAGGAAACCUUCAAUUCCUGCACGUACGCUAAGUAAGCCGCCAUUUGUGGAUCCUUGGCCUGGAACUCGCCUGUUACUUGUCCCGUGACCAACAGCGAGUCACUCUUAGCCAUCAGCACCCUAGCUCCCAUCUCCUUGGCCAGCAAGAUUCCGGCGAUCAGCGCCUCAUAUUUUGCUUGAUUGUUGUUGGCUUUGAAGGCAAACCUCAGGGACUGUUCAAUCAGCACACUGUUGGGCCCUUCCAGGAUGACUCCAGCACCGCUACCCUGCUGGUUCGACGAUCCGUCCACCGAAAGCACCCAACGAAAACCAUCCCCUUCAACUCGUGCUGCCUCCGACGAGAGUUCGACCACGAAAUCGGCGAAAACAUGCCCCUUGAUCGGUCCUCGGGGUUCAUACUUGAUGUCGAACUUCGAUAGCUCCACUGCCCAUUUCACCAUCCUUCCAGCUACAUCAGGCUUCUUCAAGACUUUCUGGAUGGGCAAGUCGGUCAUCACCAGUAUUGUAAAGCUGUGAAAAUAGUGGUGCAACCUCCUCGCCGAAAACACCACAGCCAGUGCAGCUUUCUCCAAGGCCUGAUACCUCACCUCCGGGCCAUGGAACACCUUGUUGACGAAAUAAAUAGGCUUCUGAGCCUGGUCUUGGGCGAGCACCGCACUCACCGCCCUCUCAGUCACAGCAAAAUACAAUAUGAGAGGGGUCCCCACCAACGGUUUGCACAAAACCGGCGGGCUCGCCAGGUACUCUUUAAGCUUGAUGAAGGCCUCUUCACACUCCCUCGUCCAGGCAAACUUAUUGUUUCGCCUUAAACACUGGAAGUACGGAUGGCCUUUCUCCCCGCUAGCCGACACGAAACGAGACAGGGCGGCCAUCCGACCUGUAAGCUGCUGCACCUCCUUCACAGUAGCCGGACUCCUCAUCGCCAAGAUGGCAGCACACUUAUCAGGAUUUGCCUCUAUUCCUCUUUCAGUUAAGAGGAAUCCCAAGAACUUCCCUGCCUCCACGCCAAAAAUGCACUUCUCGGGAUUCAGCUUUAACCUGAACUUGGCAAUUGUGGUGAACAAUUCCUCCAGGUCCGCAACGUGCUUGCUCGUUUCCGGCGAGGUCACGACCAUAUCAUCCACAUACGCUUGCACAUUCCUUCCCAUCAUUGGUGCAAGUACCCUAUCCAUCAAUCUUUGGUACGUGGCCCCCGCGUUCUUCAGCCCAAAGGGCAUCACUUUGUAGCAGUAGCACGAUCUUUCGGUCAUGAAGGCGGUCUUCUCUUCGUCCAUAUGAUGCAUUUUUAUCUAGCUGUACCCCGAGAAGGCGUCCAGAAAACUCAACAACUUACACCCUGCAGCACUGUCGACCAGGGCAUCUAUGCUUGGCAAAGGAUACGAGUCCUUUGGGCAAGCCUUGUUCAGAUCAGUGAAGUCGACACACAUGCGCCACUUCCCAUUGCUUUUCUUCACCAGCACGACAUUGGCCAACCACUCAGGGUACUAAACUUCCCUGAUAUGGCCUGCGGCGAGGAGCUUCUGUGUUUCAUCCCUGAUCGCCUGCCUCCUCUCCUCGUUAAACUUCCUUCUUCUCUACCGCACUGGUCUGACCUGGUUGUCCAUUGCUAGGCGAUGGCACAAGAAGUCUGGGUCGAUUCCCGGCAUGUUUGAAGCAGACCAUGCGAAAGCAUUCAGAUGCCGCUCUAUCACCUUGGCGAUCUGGUCUUGGAGUUCAGCCUCCAAAGAUCUUCCCAGCUUGAAGACUUUUCCCCCGAUCUCCCUCUCGAGCCACUCCUCGACGGGUUUGGGUCGGGUUUCCCUGGCGAUCACCGCCUUGGCGAUUCCCAGCUCCCUCGCUUCCUCUGGGCGAUUCCUCACCUCUUCUUCCCGAUCGGCGUUCUCCUCCCUUGCUUCAGCAUCUACCAUGACGACGUCGCUACCGGCGGUAGCCUCCAGCUCCGUCGACCUGGGCUUCACACCGGGAGGCGGGGUGGUAGUGAUGUAACUUACUGACCUCUUAUUUUUCACACUAUUCUCAUAGCACUUCUUCGCUUCCUUCUGGUCAGAUUUGAUGGUGAUCACCACCCCCUCCAUAGACGGCAACUUCACCUUCAUGUGCCUGGUCGAGGACAUAGCUCCUAUUCUGUUGAGUGUUGGUCUUCCCAACAGAAUGUUAUAUGCUGAGGGAGCAUUCACGACGAGGUACUUGAUUUUCUCCGUCCUCGAGCCCGCCACAUCUGUGAAUGUAGUUCUUAACUCGAUGUACCCCCUAACCUCCACCUGGUCACCAGCGAAACCGUAUAAGCACCCUCCAUAGGGCCUCAGCUAGUCAAGGGUAAUUGCAGCUGUGUGAAAGUCGGCCAGAACAUCACAUCUGCCGAGCUUCCUUGUUCCACCAGUACCCUGUGGACCUUCCUCCCCGCUGUGACGAGCAAGAUAACUAUGGGAUUGUUGUUAUGAGGCAACGUCCCUGAGAUCUUCUCUUGUGAACGUGAUGUCCACAUCUGGCGAGUGGUCCUCGAACAUGUCCACCGUCAUCACAAACCUUGCAUACUUCUUCCUCUGUGAUGCGGUGCAUCCACCACCUGAGAAACCUCCUGCGAUGGUAUGGAUCUCUCCAUGAGUGGGCAUCUCGUGCUGCUGAGCCUCACCACCCGCCGGCUGGGAGCUCGACGCGCCCCCCGUCCUCCUGUCCAACAGGUAAUCAUUCAGGAAACCGCUCUUGACCAGGUCGUCGAGCUGGUAUCCGAGUGCCAAACAUGAGUCGACGGGGUGACCAAAACUCUGGUGGAAUUCGCACCAGGCGUCUGGUUUUGGUCCUAACACCUUGUCGCCCACUUUCUCGGGUGCCUUGAGCUUGGCUGUUAUGUUGGGGAUGGCGAUCAGGUCCGCCAACCCCAUGACAAACUUAUGCUUUGGCGGGGCGAUUGUACUCCCUGAGGCGCCCUGGGCCCCUGCCCUUGUUUUUCCUUGGAUCAUAAGGAUGGCGAGUCCUUUGAUCCCUCUUGGCCGCCGCUGUCUCCAGCACCCUCUGUGGUUGGAUCCUGGUCUGGGCACAUGGCCUAGCGGGGGCCACGCUCCCUCUCUUCUCGGCGACCUCACUCUCAUCGACGAUGUGGGCCACCGCAAGUCACCUAACCUCAGCAAACGUGGCGGGGUGAGCCCUGAUCAGAGCCUCACAGAAAGGUCCCGGCAGCACGCCCUUUUUGAAGGCGUAUACCAGCAUCUCCUCGUCUUUCGCAGGCGAGCGGACCAUCUGUGCUCCAAAACGAUUCAGAUAGUCCCUGAGGGACUCUCCCUGGUAUUGCCUUAUGUCGAACAGGUCGUAAGACACCCUAGGUGGCGCUUUGUUCACAAUGUACUGCUCGACGAAAAUCUUCGAAAACUGUUGGAAAUUGGUUAUGUGACCUGUAGGCAGGCUCACAAACCAUUCCAGCGCUGUUCCCUGAAGCGUGCUCACAAACAUUUUGCAAUACAUAGCAUCCGAGCCUCCUGACAGCAUCAUCUGCGUGUGGAACGUGGUGAGAUGUGCCUCAGGAUCCUCCACGCCGGUGAAAGUAGCCUUCACGGGUACCACGCUCGCAGGGAUAGGCGUGUAUGUGAUCGCCUGAGCGAAUGGCAUAGGGAAAACGCGAGGUGGCGACGACGAUGCGACCUUCGUAGAAACCUGCAACUUCACCUCAGAUCCUCCACUUCUUCAACAGGCCCUCGAUUCCCUAACCAAAAACGCAAUCAAACAGAAACACACCGAACGGCCGAUUGAACACCGCGCGAACGGCAAGAAACUCCAAGAAAAACGAUCGAAAGCUUGAACGGAUGGUGGAAAACCUCACUCCACCGAUUAAAACUUCGAACAACGGUAGAAACCUCGAAUUCACCGGACAAGACUCACACGAGCGGUGAAAAACACGAGUUUACCGAACAACAUCUUGAACGAACGGCGGAAAAUGGUUACACCAGCACGCAACCACACAGAAACUACCGAAACUUCAAGAACUCACGUUGCGAAAGGGGACAGGUUUUACACGGCCCCACGGUGGGCGCCUGAUGAUCCUUCCUGUUGACCAGAACGCUGGAGCCUUGCCUCGUCAAAUCUGGAUCGACUUUGCACCGUGCUAGCUUCCGUCUUUCGCCUUGAUUCACCUCAAGAACCUGCAAAAGACAGAACGGCACCGCUGCGGCCGAUCACGCUCCGACGUCCAAGUCAGCGACUGAACCACCAAAAUACUAAGAGAAAACUAAGAACUUCAGGAACCGUGCAAUAUUCUCUCUCAGUGUAAUCCAGUUCUCGCGAGCGUAAAAGAAGUAUUCUAAAAUGCGCGUACCUCAGAAGUUCGUUAGGAUUCCUUAUAUACCUGUGCAUUUUCUCUCUCCUGACAGUUACACAUCUGGACACGUGGCUCGUAUCCAGCUGUACACGUGUCACCAUCUGGAGCAUCCUUGACUUGAGCGUCGCCUCUUACUCUUCAGGCUUUUCGACUAAGUUACUUAUGCAGGAAGCAAUUCAGCGUAUAACUGCCUAGGAGCGCGAUAUCUUCUGCGUGGCGAGUACGGGUGUCUUCAUAUACACCUUCCCUGUGGUCUCGCUGGCUGCCAUUAUAUUCUACUUUACUUACUUCACUGUGCAUGCUCGGGUAAGCUGUUCCCCGACCUCAACCUCUGGCCAGCUAGGGAAUGACCAUCUGACGACUUCAUCCUUUGCUUCAAAAGCCUGGAACAAGCUUUCUUGAUCCUUCGACGAUGUCAUCCUCUCGGCGAUCUCCGAUCGUCUUGUCGCCUAGGUUCGCACCCGGCGACUACAACACAAACUUGGUGAUCGCCGUUUUAGGCAUGCUAGAGAUCGGGCACGCCAACUUAACGACUGGCGAUCACACGAGCCUCCCGACGUCCUUCCCUUCUACCAGCCCGGUGUCCCGUUCAACACGCCUAUACUAUUGCUUGCGGCAACGUCAUCAAUUCCGACUACCUGGGCGGUACAAGAGGAAUGUGGCAAGGUACACCCUUAUAGAUGGAAAGUUUUUUUGUCAUAGUUAUACCCAUCUCAUCCUCACUUGUGUAAGUGGGGAUCAGUGUGCUUGCAUCAUGGCAGAGUUCCAUGAAGGCAUUUGCGGAAGUCAUGUGGGAGGGAGAACUCUCUCGCUAAAGGUCGUCGAGCUGGGUAUUAUUGGCUAACUAUGAAGAGGAUUGUAUGAGACACGUACAAUAAUGCGAACAAUGUCAGAAGCAUGCUGAUUGGCAUCAUGCGCCACCUGAGGAGUUACAGUCAAUAUAUAGCCCCUGACCUUUCCAUACAUGGGGAAUAGACAUCUUAGGUCUUUUUCCUUUGUCAAUUCAUCAGAUGAAAGUACCUUGUGAUAGCCAUUAAGUACUUCACAAAGUGGAUAGAGGCUGAGCCAGUUGCACAAACCCACAAGGUGCAACACUUUGUGUGGAAAAACAUUGUUUGUUGUUUCGGGAUCCCUAGGCACUUGGUGUCUGAUAAUGGUACCUAGUUUGCAAGUCAGCAGUUAUGCAAGGUAUGCAUGGAGCUCGACAUCAAACAUGUAUUUGCAUCUGUGGAGCACCCUCAAAUGAAUGGCCAAGUCGAGUCUGCCAAUAGAGUCUUGCUCAAAGGUUUGAAGAGGAGGUUCCUCAAAUUUUGUGGGCUUAUCACACUACUUCUCAGUCAAUAAUCAAGGAGACACCUUUUAGUUUGGUAUAUGGGUCAGACGCCAUGAUACCAGUAGAGAUCCAAGAAAGCUUGCCUCAGUUCCAGAACUUCGUGAUAAAGGAGUCUAACCAAGGAAGGAAGGUGAACCUGGAUCUGCUAGACAAAAUGCAUGAACAAGAUCGCAUCAAUUCUGAAGCUUUAAAGAGAAGGAUGGAGGUGAAGCAAAAGACCAAUUUGAAGCCCCGACAGUUCCGAGUUAUCGACUUGGUGAUGCGAAAGGUGCACCCCUAUCAGCUGGAAAAUAAGUAGUGUCUAAAAUGGACUGGCCCAUUCCACGUGGUGGAGGUGCUUGGGAACAGAGCCUAUGGGCUUGAAACCCUUGAAGGGGGAGCUAUACCUCGAACAUGGAAUGGGGCGAACCUUAAGUUUUAUUUCAGUUAAGAUAUUUUGUUAAUGUUUUCUUUAUGAACGAUGUAGUGAUUAAGGGGACACACUUUUUCCCUUAAGAGGGUUUUUUAACGAGGUCACCUAAUGAAAAUUUGUUCUUGAAAGAUGAUGCAUUAGAGUUUUUUGUUUGUUACAUGAUAAGGCGACUUGCCGGUGAGAUUAUCUGAGUAAGCGUUAUGUGUGUUACUAAUUAUGUAGUGCCUGACGAGGCGACUUUUCCUUGGUAAGAUUCCAAGUCUAGGUGUUUCGAAGUUCAUUGUGAUUCAGUUGGGGCGACCUUUCCUUGGUAAGAUUCUGAGUUCAGGCGCCCCGAAUCACAAUUAGUUGUAACUAAGAUUUUUUAGUUAAAAGCAGAUAAGACGACCUCACUCAGUUAGAAUACUUGAGUAGACGUUCUAUGGAAAAAUUGGUCAUUUAUAGGAAGGUAAUACGACCUACCUCGGUGUUGGUAAGACCACCCGAGCUCGGGAGCUCUGUAGAUGAAGGCUGAGACUAAGAUUGUCUAAGAAGUCGGGGUAGUCCGUCGAGAGGGCAAUCAUCCGAGUUCGAACACCCUAUGGGGUAGUAAUACACCGCGAAAGAAAUUGUUUAAGAGUUGACUUGGUGUGUAAGCCAACACCCGAUUUAGAUGCUCUAAACAAAAGUAAUUUUUUAGUAGUUGACUUGGUGUGUAAGCCAACACCCGAGUUAGAUACUCUAAACAAGGGUAAUUGUUUAGGAGUUGACUUGGCGUGUGGGCCGACACCCAAGUUAACUACUCCAAACCAAUGUGAUUGUUUAAGGAGUUAACUUGGCGUGUAAGCCAACACCCAAGUCAAAAGCUCCAAGAUUAUAAACAAAUCAUUCUUAGUGUAGGGGAAAAAGGAUCAAGCUUGUAAAAAAUGCGAGCCUUUGAGUAUUGAAAGCCCUGCUUAGCAAGGUUAAAGUAUGUGAUCCUUAUUUAAGUAGUUGAAGGGCACUCAUGUGAGUUAAGAGGUUUUAUGCGGCCAGAGGGUAUGGAUCCUCCAACGAUUAGUUUGUCAAAGCAUUACGAUUUUUCGUGCUUGAUUGAGGUAUUAAGUUUGUUGUCUUUUUAGCUUAAGUGGGUUAGCAUAGGUGUAAAUUGGCUCGGGGCGAUAUCCAGACAACCGGGCCAGGGCUAAUGUCGAGCCAAGCAGACCCAGACCGAUGUCGAGCCAAGCAAGUCCAGGUCCAGGUCGAUGACCAGCCGAGCAGGUCCAAGUCCAGGUCGAUGUCGAUGUCGAGUUGAGCAGGCACGGGCGAAUGUCGAGCCGAGCGGGCCCAGGCUGAUGUCGAGUAGAGCGAGCCCGAGCCGAUCUCGAACCGAGCGGGUCCUGGCCGAUGUCGAGUCGUCUGGGCCCCGGGUUGAUGUCGAAUCGUCCGAGCUUGGGCCGAUGUCAAGUCGUCCGGGCCCAGGCCGAUGUUGAUUCGUUUGAACCCGGGUCGAUGUCAAGUCAUCCGGGCCCGAGCCGAUGUCGAGUCGUCCAGGCCAGGGCAGAUGUCGAGUUGAGAGGGCUGGAGCCGAUGUUGAGCAGAACGGUUCAGGGCUGAUGUCGAGCCGAGCGGUCCCGGGCCGAUGUAGAGCUGAGCGGUAUCGGGCCGAUGUCGAGCCAAGCGGGCCCGGGCCGAUGUCGAGUCGUGCAGGCCCGAGCCGAUGUUGAGUCGUUUGGGCCCGAGCUUAAUUCAAGUCGUCUAAGACCGGGCUGAUGUCAAGUUGUCCCGGCCCAGACCGUUGUCGAGUCGUCCGGGUCCGGACCGAUGUCGAGUCGUCCGGGCCUGGACCGAGUCGUUUAGGCCCGAGUCGAUGUUGAGUCGUUCGGCCUGGACUGAUAUCGAGUCGUCCGGGCCCGACCCGAUGUCGAGUCGUCCGGGCCCGGGCAGAUGUCGAGUUGAGAGGGCUGGAGCCGAUGUUGAGCAGAGCGGUCCCGGGCUGAUGUUGAGCCGAGCAGUCCCGGGUCGAUGUCAAGCCAAGCAGGCCCGGGCCGAUGUCGAGUCGUGCAGGCCCGGGCCUAAUUCAAGUCGUCUAAGACCGGGCCGAUGUCAAGUCGUCCAGGCCCAGACCGUUGUCGAGUCGUCCGGGUCCGGACCGAUGUCGAGUCGUCCGGGCCUGCACCGAGUCGUUUAGGCCCGGGUUGAUGUUGAGUUGUCCGGCCUGGACCGAUGUCGAGUCGUCCAGGCUCGGACCGAUAUCGAGUCAUCUGGGCCCGGGUCGAUGUCGAGUCGUCUGGGCUUGGGCCGAUGUCGAGCCAUCUAGGUCUGGGCCGAUGUAGAGUCGAGUUGGUGUACGUCUAGGUUGAGUCGGCUUAGUCCUAAUUCAAGCCAAGUUAGUUUGUGUCCAUAUCAAAAUGGAUUUAAAGUAAUUGACAAAGUGGAUUUAAUCUAGAUUUAAUCCACUUUAAAUGGAUUUUAAAAAAAUCCAAAUAUAUUUGAUCUAGUUAAACUGGAUAUGGAUUUUAAAUCCAAUCCAUUUAUUUGGAUUUGGAUUGGAUCUAGAUUGGAUUUUAAAAAAUCCAAUCCAUGACCACCCCUAAUCACAACAGAUAAAAUAUCUCUUUAUCUUUUAUCUCUGGAAUAAUAUCACAAUAGAUAAAAUAUCUCUUUAUCUUUUAUCUUUGGAAUAAUAUGACAACAGAUAAAAUAUCUCAUUAUCUUUUAUCUCUGGAAUAAUAUCACAACAGAUAAAAUAUCUCUUUAUCUUUUAUCUCUAGAAUAAUAUCACAAUAAAUUAUAUCUCUGUCUUUUAUCUCUAGAAUAAUAUCACAACAAAUAAAAUAUCUCUCUAUCUUUUAUCUCUAAAAUAAUAUCACAAUAAAAUAUCUCUCUCUCUUUUAUCUCUGGAAUAAUAUCGCAACAGAUAAAAUAUUCCUUUAUCUUUUAUCUUCAUAAUAAUAUCACAAUUGAGAAAAUAUUCCUUGACCUUUUAUGUUCAUAAUAAUAUCACCACAAAUAAAAUAUUUCUUUAUCUUUGUUACCUUUUCUGGGUUGACCAACAUCUGAGCUGAUCUUACGACUCACCUCUUGUGCCCAAACACCGAGAUGACCUUCCCCAAACACUUGGAUCGAGAUGGCGAGCUCUCCUGCAUGUUACACAUGCCCCCCGUCUUACCUGCCACUAGGUAAUCAUUUACUCACGGGGCGCCUAUACUCGAGUGGUAGUAUUGGCACCGAGCUAGGUCGACUUACCAUGUGCCAAUUCAAACUAAUCAAUAGAGCUAAAUGCAUCAUCUUCUAAGAACAAAUUUAUCACACAUCGUUAAAAAAAGAAAGCAUUAAGCAAGAAUAUCUUAGCUGAAAGACAACUCGAGGUUUGCCACAUUCCACGCUCGAGGAAUGGCCUCAACUGGUUGGCCUUGGCUUCUUCGUCUACAUAUUAGAGUAGACUUUCAUGGUCUCCAUGAUUUGCUGCAAGGUGGGGUCCUUGGUCCCUUCACAUCCCAGUGGACCUUGCCUCGUGUUCCUCAUUAUGUCACAAACUCAAACACAACUGUGGAUGGGAUAAGGUUUUAUCGAACCCUACGAUGGGCGUCAAAUGUUCUUGCCGGUUAACUUGGUUGCCGGUUGACUUUGAUGACCGGUUCAGGCCCCGCCUGUCUCCUCUGGAAUUUGCACUUCCCUUGGUUGAUGAAUGCUUUACCUGUAGAGACAAAAGGGCACCCUUACGGCCGUUUGCACUCCGACGCUCAAGUCAGUAAGGGCUAAAGAAUAAUAAGUAUGUAAAACAGUUUUAGUCUUAGAAACGACGUACCUUUACCAGGGAUCUUAACUCCCUUUUAUAGACUGCUUUUAGGUUACCUUAUUGUAACAACCCCUCUCUCACCAGAGCCUUAUCUCUAGUGAAAUUAGGUUUGCUGGAAGGACAUUCUAUUACGUUGUUACACAAUCUUAGAGCACAUAAUCUUCCUCUUUGGAGUGCACAAUCUUAACAACAUGGUCGCCAGGGUACCAACUCAUGUACCAGCAUUACGAGGUCCAUCUGUUACUGUAGGUGCCCUAGUCCUUACCUAUCAUGCAUGCAACUUUCCCCUGAAAACCCUAGCGCUCUUGGGCCUUGUCGUCUUCAGGGGAUAUUUACUUAUGUUAGACCCGGAUGUACUAUACACACCAUAUACACUUCUCUUGUUGACUAGGCUUUUCAUUUAUACACGACUUUCAACACACGCAUCUCUGGGGGCCCACUUACGUGGUCCACUAUCUCGAUCAGAUCACCGAGCCGACUUGUUCCACAGGUGCCGAUGUCUGAUGCCUGAUGACGAUGUCCGAUGUUUGGUCCAGUACACAGAUCUUUCUUGUCAAUCCGAGCCAACAUGCUAUCUUCGAAAGGGGAUAAGAGGAAAUUAGCAACAAUAAAAAAAGUCAACACCAUCGAGAGUAAAGAGUGAAAAGUACCGAUGUAAGCUUUUAGAGCCCUUGGGGCGAACUCUUUGCUUAUGAGAGUGGUAGUGUCGAAUACCACCUUUAAGCUCGAGAGGAAUUGACAGACCUUCUGGUCACGCUAGGGCAUAUCUUCCGGGCGUCGAGAACCUUGGAAGCGUGGCUUCUUGGUCCAGUACAGAGGAAACCCAACCAAGAGAGUUGGAUCCCUCUUAUUAGAUCGUACCUUUAAGAAUUUACCUUUAAAGCCCUUGUAGGAUUGUUGGAAGAACGAUAACAAUGCUCUCCCAGCCACCCCGUUGAAAGACACCCAAAGUUGGCGGCCUAAGUGUUUGGCCUCAAAGAAAUACAAAAAGACUUCCAUAAAUGGCAAAAGGCCAAACUGCGUGCAAAGAAUGCAGAAACCCCGAACAAAUGGCCAGCUAUUUGGGCAGAGGCCAUGUUGAUCUCAGUAAGGAGCUCUUUCUCAAAGUUGAACAGGGGAAGAUGAAGAAGGAUUCUUUUGAAUACGGUGGCAUAGAAGUAGUAAAAGGGACCUUCAGGGUCCGAUGACUCAUCGCAGUAGACGAGUUCAUCUUCUCUACAUGGGAUUAACCUAAUGGCUCUAUAUUUCUCUUUUCCAAAAAAACAUUUAUUUUUUCUAAGGGCCACUAUUAGCUCACGAGAGGGGUAGAUAGAGACCAAUUCUAAUAGGUUUUGGGGUGCCCAGGGGUAUAAAGCUUUGUAAUUCAUUGCUUGAAUAUAUAAAAAUAAAAACACAAGCAAAGUACAAACACACAUUCAGACAAGACAAACCACAUGUAACAAUACAUUUCAAAUUCAAGCAAAGCAAUGUAACUAACAAAUAUAACAAUCAGUAUAAGUAGGAAAUGGUAAAUUCAGAAGAAUCCCCAACUCAGGAAAUAUGGUCGCAAUGAAUACUCUCAACUGAUAAGGAUGCAAAUACAUAAUAAUUGAUUUGAGCGAGAGGAGGUACCUUGUUUCAAGGAGCGAUUGAGGAUGAGGGAGUUUCCCAGGUUCGCGAAGGGGGUGGAGUGAGAAGGAGAAAAACACAAAGAGUUUGCAAAGAUUAGAGAAAUGGAACAAUGAAGAGUAGCAGGUAUCUAAACGUUAACAUAAUGAUUAUGGGAAUGGUAAGCGACAACACCUUUCCACUAUUGAUAAGAGCGCUACAUGUGCGUCCAUGAUUGAGUAUGUUGAAAUGUCACCUCAAAAACCCUUCGUACGUCGCGCUACACCUGCUCGUUGCGAGACUGUCACUAGAGCACUCGAAAAGCCUUUUUGCUUAGCCAAGCUAAACUCGAGCCAGAGGGGCUUGUGUACUGGACAGAGCGCUCAGGGCUCAGUGCUCGGUGGUCGAAUCUCGGUGUAUAGCAUAUGCAAGUCAGCUCGGCUGUUGGGCUUGUAAAGGGGGUCGUGAGUUUGGUCGAGUCAUAUAGGUAAGCCCGUUGUGGCAUAACUAAAAUAAUAUUUUUAUACCUUAGUAUAAGGCUACUAGUAAAGGGUAUUUUUGAACCUAGGGGUACGAAUAGUACAUGUCGUGCCUAGGUCAAGUAAAUGUUUUUUUAAACUUGAGAACGUGUGUUCUAGGGCACAAAGUGGUUAAGUUGCAUGUGGGAUAAAAGAUAACGUUGCACCACGAGUAGGGUGCCCCCGUAAGCAGAAUAUUCCCCUGUUGUUGGCACAUAAGUUGGUGCCCUACUGGUAGGUGGUUGUUCUUUUAUUAUUUUAUGAUAUCUUUAGAGAUAAGAUUCAUUUCUGUUGCAACACUUGAGAGAAGGCGCCCAUCAACAUAAUGUUUUCCUGUUGAGUAUGCUUUCAGUUGAGAUUAGAUUCUCAUGAGGAAAACUGUUACAAGAGAUAAGCUAUAAAAGGGAGUUUGAGACCUCAGGUAAAUGUAUGUUGUUCCUGAGACUGAAACUGAAUACUUCUUGAAUUUUAGUAAGCCUUUUAUUGACUUGUUCGCCGGAGUGCCAUCAACAAGUAGGGUCCCCUCUGUUUCAACGGAGGUACGUUUCAGAGGUACAAGAGAUAUGAAAGAUUCCUAAAGAGACAGACGAAGCUAGAACUUGUCAACAGACGAGCAAGUCAACCGGCAAGAACAACAUCAUUAGAGUGUUGACAAGAGUUAGUUGAAUUUGAUUAACACAUGUUUGAUUUAGUUGAACCAUGUGCGAGAAUUGAUGAAGAAUUUAUCUAUGAGGAACUUAGAAGAACACCUACAUUUUUUACUUUUUAUAUUCUACUUUAUUUUUCUGCACAACUAUCUCAACCUGUUAUUUUAAUGGUUAUUGUUAACUUUUUUUUUUUAUUUGUAAAUAUAUUUUGAAUACUGAUACAGUAUCCCACUAAUGAAUUCUUAACCUAUCCUAAUUCAAAAUAUAAUCAUUCUAACUUUUACAUAAUUUUAUUCAAUGACCAUAUGCAAUAUAAAUUAAUAUCCUUUCAAGUGUAUUUAUGAAUAGAUAUUAAAAAUAUUAAAUAAUACUAAAAGCAUUCAAAUAUGUCAUUAAUUAGUUUGUGCUGUCAAUGACUUUAGAGCUAAUUAUCACAUAAUUGAUAAUUUAGUAUAGGAAAUAUUUUUCUAGUUUUUUAACACGUGAGCAUGUUUAAGUUCAAAACCAAGAUUACAAAUGUACAUUUAUUAUAACUUAUAAGAACGAAGUUGACCACUUGGAAAAUAAUAUAAAAUAAACUCCAUCAAUUAAGUGGUGUAGGUAAAACAAAAUGAUUUUAAGUAUUUCUAGAAAUUAUAUUAAACAGCAUAAAAUGGUUUAAAUAAUUCUAAAUUAAUGUGUAUUGAUAUUUCAAAAGUUAUUUAAUUUUGGAUAAAAUUGAGAAAAGGUGAUGGUGUGUUGUAACACAAAACUAGUUGUAAGAUGUAACCAAUGGGCGUGUGUCUGCGUCCCUUCAGUAUCAUCUCAUCCACAUAAUAUUAGUAUCAAUAUCUUUCCAAAAUAAAACAAAAUAAAAAAUAAAAACAAAAAGUAGAAAUGAUAGUGGGGAUUGCAUCAUAGUUCUACCCAACACUUUUGAUUUCACAGCUCUUCUUCUGGACCUGGGAUUCUCUCAUCCAUGGCCACCGUGCAUUUCCAAUCCCUAACCCUCACUCGCUCCUCCAGAGCCCCUUCCCUCACCUUCUCUCCUCCGGUUGCCGUCAUCGGCAGCCGCAUCUCUGCUUCGGUGCCACGAUGCUCCGGCCUCCGGCUCCGAUCCUCCGUUCGAACCGCUUUUUCGACUCGCGCCGCCUCGAGAACCGCUCCUCGCGGCGGAUGCGUGGUUUGCGAAGCACGAGAUACCGCCGUCGAAGGUUAGAUUUCGAUUUCGAUGCGAAGAUUUGUUGUUCAGGUUCUGUAGGAGUUUUGUAAUGUUGUUGUGGUUUGUCAAAUGUUCUGUGAAAUUUCUUGUGCGCUGUGUGGAUUUGGAAUGUUAAAAUCAUUGAAUUAUUCCAACGAUGAUGCUAAUUGUUUGAGCCUUUGAGCAUUUUGGUGAGUGAAGCUAAGAAAACACUAGAACAGUUUGGUAUUUGUUUUAUUUGAUAUUUUUUUGUAUUCUGAUUUUUAUUUGACGACUAAUAUUUUGUAGAUCUGGAUUCUAGUGCUUUGGAUUUUUUUCUUAUAGCUGUGCAUAGCUUGAAACGUUUCUUGCAUGAUUAUCUGUUUUGUGGUGAGAAAAAUGGAAUAGCUGGAAUUGUUUGAAGAGUUUCUCUUUGUAUAUACAUGUACCUGUGUUUUAUAACCUAACUAUAUCUCUAUUGGAAACAGGACUAAUUUUAUAGUGUUAGCGUAUCAUGCUUGUAGCCAUAAGUUUAGCAAACAAUCAGAACAGAAACUGCAUCAUCAUUUUACGUCACUCUCGCAGGCUGUUUCAUUUUCUUCUGGCAUGUUUCACAUCGACCCAUUACAUGUAAUGUAAGGUUAAAUAUUCGCUUGAAUGUAUCAUUAUAAGCAAUUCUUUCCCUCUUGAUAAUGUCUCUAGCCACCAAUCUUACGCUGAUAAGUUUUUAGAAUUCCAUUCUUUUGUUUGGAAAUGCAUUUACAACUGACCAGUCCCACAAGUCUAUGUUCAAACGAGGUGAAUUCAUCUCCUUGAUGGCGACUAACCAUUGAGUUUUCUCUUUACUUGCUAGAGUAGGCAGUAAGCUCUGGAUAUCCAUACCUUUUUCAAAGCUUUGAUUAUUCUCCUUGUUCUAAGACUGCCAAUACUAUAAUUAUGAUUAGCACCUCUGUCCUCAUCGUGUCUUACCCUUCUUCUACAAGAUCAUCUAUUUCAUCAUUCAGUAGAAAGUCAAAUGCUAUGUCUAUCUCUACCCCAAUCUCACAUUUUUUAAACUUUUGACUUGUAAGUCAUUUUAGUUUCAUUACAAUAUCCUGACAAAUGACGAUACAAUUCUUGAAUCCUGGCUCAAGACACCAUAAUGCACAUCUAUACGCAUUCUCUAUAUCAUAGAAACAUGCAUUUAACAACACAUGUGAAAGCUUCUAGCUUCGCUUGCCAUAUGUGCGUAUAGGCUACAAAGCCAAAUAUUCUCAUAUUAUCAUGCUUGGGGCAGUGCUUUGAUUAGAUUUCCUCAAGAGUUUUCAUAUCAAGCGUUGUUGAGGGACACGUUAAUCAGAUAGGUAUUAGUAGUGACAACUUAAGUCUACAACACCUUUGGAACUCUAGUUGGGUUCUCCACCAUGCUCUUCCAAAGUUUUCAAAUGUUUCAUCUUUAGCCUUAUGAGGGUAGACCCACCUUGAUAGAUUGUUUGAACCUAGUAGACCGUUUGGAUGAGUCUGUUUGCGUCUGGUGAAACAACUCUUGUUGAAGAGGGUUAUGAAUUAUUAGAGGACUUUGUAGUCUCGUUGAUGUUGUUGACUAUAAGUCCUUUUUUUUCAAAUUUUGUGGUGUUUUGAUUUGAUUUAUUGUUAUUUGAAUUUAUAGACAUGAUAUUAUUAUUAAUUAUGGUUGUCUUUCAUUAUCUUUGCAUUACAAUUAUAUUUCUGCUUAUUUUCUUUUAAAAUUAUCGAUAUGUAUCUAUUGUAUUAAUUUUUUUGUCUGCGAUCUGCCAUAACCCAUUAUGGCUUCCGUGUACAUAUUCAUAAAGGAUUUUUGGGGUCUCUAUUUGGUAACGCUGAUGAAGUUUAUGUUGACUGCAAUUGCAUAGAUGUAUGGAAUUUGUGCAAAAAAUUUCAAAUUGAUUAGAGGGAAUUUCUUUAUCUAUAAUGGUUAAUCUUAAUGUCAUUGGUAGAGAGAAACAAAGAAGCUGUUUUAGAAUAUUAGAGUCAAUUCGUAGUAAUAGAGGAGAAAUUUAUAGUUUAAUUCCAAUCUUCAGAUAAGGUUCUUUUCUUGUCUUAUCAGAAGAUGAGAUUAUAGCUAUUAGGUUCCUUUUUAUAUUUGUUCUUCUGCUCGAUAUGGCAAUGAUCAUGGUGUUAGAUUUCACCAUCAUUGAGAUAAUUGCAAGAGAACUAAAUUUAGUCAUGAAAGUGGUUUAGCUUUCUUCAGACAAAAUUGGGUUUGAAGCGUUCCACUGUUAUAGUUGUGAUGAAUUAUGAUAUCCUGCACUAAUAUAAAUUAAUCUAGUAGUUUUUGAAGCAUUAAGGAUUGAUGUUUUACAUUUUAGCAUCAUUACUCAUCAUUGCACUCUAUGUGAAGCGCAUGGGUCCUAAUUAUCUGCUGCUUUACAUUUCCAGAGUAUUGUUGCAUGUCUUGGUGAAAUAUUUACUAAAGUGAAACACUUUGUAUCAUUGAAUAUUGCAGUGUCGGCUAUUACUGACGCAAAUUGGGAAAAACUCGUGCUUGAAACCGAGUCUACUGUACUGGUUGAAUUCUGGGCUCCAUGGUGUGGUCCCUGCCGAAUGAUCCAUCCGAUAAUUGAUGAACUUGCCAAGGAAUAUUCUGGUAGGCUGAAGUGUUACAAACUCAAUACUGAUGAGAGCCCUUCAACUGCUAGCCGUUAUGGAAUUCGAAGUAUUCCCACUGUCAUUAUUUUCAAGAAUGGUGAGAAGAAAGAUACAGUUAUCGGAGCUGUGCCCAAGACAACAUUGACCUCAAGCAUAGAAAAAUUGCUGUGAGCAAAUGAAAAGCUAUUUUUCUCGUUAGCUUCCUCUCAUCUAAGCCAAAUAUAUCAGGUUGGGAUUAUUUGUUUCUUAAAUAACCAUUUAUGGUCCUGUAUAGUUAUGGAUGCAAACCAUAUUUU
Molecule: long non-coding RNA, 46428 nt
Filed under: Phaseolus vulgaris (common bean)
Lineage: Eukaryota; Viridiplantae; Streptophyta; Magnoliopsida; Fabales; Fabaceae
Description: long non-coding RNA (PVUL_LNC002962)
Source: RNAcentral